AGAAGGUAAAGCUUGGUGAGUGAACAAAUGCAAGCCUGGCCUUGCUCCUGCUUUCCUGACAGAGGGAUGCAAUGCCACUGCGGCCGCUCCAGCUUUAUUACUUUCAGUGGCGAAUUAUAUCUUCAGCUUUUCAACAGCACGAUAUUGUCUUCCUCUUGCUAUCCCACCCUCUAAAUACUUUAGUGAGAUGCAGUCCAUUUACCUGAAUCAACUCUAGCCAUCUCCAAUUUGUUAAAGACUCUUCGGCACCCCCGAGUACAGAGGGAGAUAAUUGAAUUGAGCUCAUUCUUCUUGCUGAUUUUCUCAUGUUUCCUAAGGGGACUUGAGGAGGAAAAUAAUUCUCAGAAAAAAAAGGGGCCUUUUUUAAUCUAUUGCAAAGGCUAUUCAUGAAAGGGAAUAUGAAAGACGUAUGAGAGGGGAGAGAUGGGUUAGGCAGCGAGAGGAAGAGAUGGCAUUGCAGGCUUAUCACUUCAAAGAGAUUUAUAGCAUGUGACUGUUGUUCAUGAAAUUUAUGCUGCUUUUCCAAAGCACACACUAUAAGCAUUUAAAAUUCUGAGAGAAAUGAUACCUUAAAUGGUCUCACUGGGGAAUAUAUUGAUAGGACUAUCAAUUAUUUUCAUUGGUAAGGCGUUCAAACCAGUUAUGUUACCAUGUUACUUUUCCUUUUUUAAAAAACAAAACCUUUCUGUAGGAGCUGAAGAAUAGAUAUUCUGACCAUACAAACUGCUGUACGCAUACAUUACUGGACGUGCAGGAUCAGACAUAUGACCUGAAUCAUGUCACCACUUUCCCCUUUUUCAUGAUUGAUCUCUAACAAAUGCCUGAUAUCACUAUUCCCCUGCCCAUCACUUCAACACACAAAGAACUAACCAGAGUCUGUAUCGCUGUCACACUGACUAGAAUGUAAAUAUGCACGCCAUGCUGCUGCCAUCACCAAUCCAAUGCUUGAGUAAGUGAUAAGAUUAAAAGAUAGUGUAUUGCUGCUUUUUCAGGUGCUUGUUAUAUUGUAGUAACACCUAAGGGACCACAGAGUGUAGGGUGUGCAAGACCAAUCAUGUUUGGUGUUUAAUGGGCGAAACAUAAUAUUUAAUGUAAUUAGCCUCAUGUGGAUUUUCCCAAAGAUGUUUCUGAGGGAUGUAAUGGCACAGGAUAUUAUAAUGAUAAUUAUUAUUAUUGUUAUAUCCAAAACAUUUGUAGGCCUUUGCUUUUUACUCAGAGUAGGUUGUCAGUAGUUAGCAAACAACUUAUUGUUGCUAAUUUCGAGCCCAGCUAAGUCAGGGUCAAUGCUACUAUGUAACUAAGUAAAUUACAUAGUAGCAUUGACCCUGACUUGCAACUACAUACUAAGCUAGCUAAUAAAGGCUUUAGCUAGCAUUCUGGUACCUUUCACAUUAAAUCAAAAUUUGAAUGUCCUCAUAUGUUGAGUUACAUCGAUCUGUCAUUAAGUAAAAUGACUCACUUGUAAGAAUUAGCAAAACUAAUCAUCUGCAGAAAUAGAGAGCUGUUAAUUCACCUCAUCAUCAUGGAAAAUUCAAUGGAAGCUGUUUCAAUAGUUUCUUUACCUUUGGAGUAGCAUGUUAGUGAAAAUGUUUUUUUUUUAAGAAUUGCUGAUGGGAACUUGUCAUGUCACAUUUCUCUUCUGUGGUAGGCUACCAUCAACACAAUAACUUGAUAAAGGGCAGUAUUUACUGGUAUUUAUGUUUUAUUUUUCAUCUAUAUGUUGUUUUUUUUUAUUUACUCAACAAUCUCAGUUUUUUUAACCCACUACAACAUUAAUACAAUACAAUACGAUAAGUUUAUGUAUCUCCAAAGGGAAAUUCAUUUGCCUGGAAUUUCAUGAAAAAUUUGCUCUAGUAGUACAGUUAAAAGUUUACAACAAACAUAUAACUAUAUUACAGUAUCUUUUCAGUAGCAUGACUAAAAUUCUUGUGAAAUUUACUCUCAAAAUUACACAGUAUGUUCCCUAGUUGAGCUGUGACGCAUUUAAAAAUGCAGGGCCUCUUAUUUGAAACCUUCUGCUCAUCAGUAUUUUAAGGUAAAAGUGUCUAACAUGGCAUUUAAAUGAAACUGAACAACUGUGCAGUUAACUGUCGGCCAUCUUUAAUUGAUGUUGAUAUACUAGAGGGAGAUUCUAGGUUAAAAUUAGCCCAAUGAAGCCCAGAAUAGCAUCCUUAACUGUGAGAAUCAGAGAAACGGUUAUGAGCCUUGGGCUUCACUUUAAAUGCUUGAAAUGAAUACUGUAUAAAUGCAUGAAAGCUUCAUAUUAGAGCAAUUUGAAAGUGAAUAAUUUAGUUAUAAAAUGAAUAAAGAGACACCACUUUCGGAGUGAGAUAAACACCAUGUUUAUUGUGACAUGUGACAUGUGACAUGCAGCAGAAAAUAGAGCAGAAGCUUUUAACAAGGAGGUGACAGCUUUUUGGUUCACAGAAAAAAAGUAAACUUUCCACCAAAAAAGCUAAGCUCACUGUUAAUUUCCAAACUACCACAGCAGUCUGACAUGCUUCUGAAAAACUGUUGACACAUUCUAAAUGAAAAUCAUCCCUCUCUCUUCAUUCUCUUGAAGUAAUUCUUCAUUAGUUAUGAUUGUUCACCCGUGCCAUAAAUACAAAGGAUUACUUUCUGAAGAAAUAACAAAGGACCUCUUUUGCCUCAGAACCGCACAACAUAAAAGAGGAAAGCCUUUGACGAGUUAAUGAAUUUGAAUGGAUAAAAUCACCGCUGCAUGUGUACUCGCCCAGCAAGUAAAAUUCAAUUAAAAAAUAUAUGCAGUCAUGAAGGGAACAAAAAAAAAGCACAUUAAAGUCAGCCGUGGAAUAAAGUUAUCAGUUGAGGUUUUCGGGUCUACUGUUGUAAGUGGUCCAAAAUUUGUGAUUACAGAAUUGCAAAGCAAAUUGUGUUAAGCUUUAAUGGUGACAAGGAUGCAAAGAUUAUACCUUUAGGAACAGUAACACUGGCCUGUGAUGUUGCCAGUUUGCUUCUUUGGUGUGGAUUAUUGUAAUUAUUGGAUCUAAAUAAUGUAGAAAUAAGAAGAAAUGUGUGGUCCAAAAUGAAUAAAGCAAAAAAAUCAUCAUCUUUGGUGAUCUCAGACCUCUUUCCUAGCAACACUGUAAAGACCAACUGUUCUGCAAAUUGGUCCAUAUGUAUUACUUUUAAAGGAUGAACUUUAGCACACAAUUCAUAAUUCAGUUAAGUAUACUGCAAAAUACAUGCAUGAAAAUCUAUAACUGAAUUAGCCUUAUUUAUUUUUAUUCUAUAUUGAAUGGUGCUACACAAAUGUUGACAUGCUUACAUAUCAUAGUGGGAUGAUGGUCACUGUACUCAUGUCUCUUGCUUACCAUCAGCAGUCUCUUUCAGUGUUGCACACCAACACAUUUUUCUGUUAGUGCGCUUCCAUGAUAUAUGUGUAUGUAUGGGAAUUUCUUAUCUGUUCCUCAGUUGAUGCAUGAGACUAUUUCAGAUGUCUGAGACAGUAUUCCCUGCAUGUGGUUUAGGGAAUAUGCUCCUUGUUGAAGUUGAUGAAUGUCUGUCUGGAAACAGUAUAUUUGUUAGAUUGCUACGCUACUGGGCUGUCAAUCUACUUGUGCCUUUAAAUACACCGCAGCAGCCUUGCUGCAUCCCACAAAUCCAAUCCCAUCAGCUGCUUCUCUCCUAUGAAGAUAGUGGAAGGCUUGAUGUAUGUCUGUGAUAGGAAAGGCCAAUGUUAGUGUGAAUUGAGCUGACAUCCAUCUGAAUGGGUCAUGGCUAUGUUGUUGUGUGUCUUCUGCCUGCAGACUUUUAGGGCUUGUAUUGCAACUAUUAUAAGGACAUAUUAACUGCAAGGUCUGACACUGUGCACACAGAGAUUGCCUAUAUUUCACCUGUCUCGAACAUUAUAGUUGCUGUGUGGUGGAGGUGCUUGCUGCAGCCUUGCUUUGACAGUCGUGAGUGACACUGACUGUGUGUGCUUACACACAGGCCCAGGGCAGAUGGACGCAGGCAGACCUGCAGAGUGACAGAGGGGAAGGUGAAAAAAAGAGGAGAGUGAAAGAGAGAGAGGGAGAGAGAGAACUGCAGCUAAGUCUAUAUUCAGCACCAUGGAUAGCUACCAUCAGACAUCUCUUCAGGCAGCAUUUGUUUGCUUUUAUCUGAAUCACUUAUUGCCAACAAAGCUAGUGCACACUGCCUCACAAUGUCACUGCACAAGGCAUGAUUUUUGCAAGUUCCCAGGAUUCAAGCUGGCUGGGUCCUUGAUCUACAAUCAUAAGCUUUUAGUCCACUCAGAUUCCUACAAAGACAAUAUUAUCCAGCGUCUCAACUGCUUAACCUCUUGGUAUAAUUUACCGUGUCAUUACAAUGGCAGCAUUUAAAUCUUAAGAAAGCAGAACUAACUUACUGCUUACCAUAAAAAAAAUGACUUCUAAUAGCCCCUGAGGUGAUUUGACACCUGCAGAAAUUAAAUGAUUUCUUGAUUCUCUUACAAUUUUGUGCAUACCUGCAUACCAAUCUAAGUAAAAUUCAAACAUUACUUUAAGUCAGUCUAAGUACGGUACAUUACUUUUACCAACCCCUGGGUGUAGGAGGUGAACAAUACUUCAUCAUAGACUUUGCAAUAUGAAAGUGGAAUUUAUAACCCUAGUUAAAAUAGAAUAAAUAAACUUCCAGGCACUGCUGUAUUUUACACUUCUUGAAGCUUCUAUCCAGUGUUGUUUUCUUUGACGAUGACGUUGAUGAAUAUUUCGUCAUCAUCAACGAAAACAACACUGGUUGAUUCCGUUGACAAAAAUAUUUCGUCAACGCCCCUUUUUUCCACGACGAAGACAUGACGUUGACGAGCUAAACAUAAGUCUUAGAUGACAAAAGUGUGACGAGACGAAUGUGCACAUUGACCAGACUAGACAAAAAAACAGUUAGUGGUGGCCGACGAACAGAGUUGCAAAAUUCAUGAGCAUUUCAACAGUCAAACGCUAACAACGAAAACAACACUGCUUCUAUCCCUGUUUUAUCGCUGAUGAUAAAAACAGUCUAAAUCAGUGGCAGUGGGGGGGACUUACAAUAAUUCCAUAAUGCUACAACACAGCUGGUGCAAUGACCGAUGAUUAACAAACACAUACCCGUAGAGAGCAUUUGAAUACCUAUUACAAAGUUCGUUUGGUUUGCAUUAUUCUCCUGUUAGGAUUUUCAAGGUGUAUCACAGUUUAAAAAAGUCCCCAGUUCAAAAAACUUGAAUUUAUUUGUCACACUGCUCUACUACCUGUAUGUAAAGAAGCACAGAUAACUGGUGUAGCACAGUCUAGUUUGGCAGUAUAUUGAUCUAGGCAUUGGGUAAUGUCAUAAGUAGGCUGUAUGUUGUCAAACUGGCUAAUGACUACUUGACUUGAGCGAUGUAUGAUCAACACAGAUGUGUGGAUGUUUAGUUUAAAAGAAGACUGAAGGUUAAUGACACCUGUACUGCCAACAUUAGCCACACUGGGUAAACAAAGCUGACAUUGUUUACCUGCAGACUGAUCCUGUGUUUAGCUAUGUAAAAUUUGACUGUUUUCUGGGUGUUUAUUACCUUCAGAGUCGUGAGAUCAUUUGGAAAUAAGUUGCUUUGUAACAUCCCCUGAUGAAACUUUAUUUUUCAUUUUGGCUGUGGCUAUGUCGGUAUUUUUGAACCCCAGACUGUUUUAUUUGGACAUGCUGGGAGUAGGGGAGAAGUAAAGAGUUUGAUCACAUUAUCACAUUAAUACUGUUAUCUUGGCUGUACUAGCUAAUUCAUUUGCCAAAUAAUCUUCUUUUUAGUGAUGGGUUGUCAAGCAGAGUGGUAUCUUUUUCAUCGUAGUUGUAGAGGGUUGAUGUUUUUUUGACUUGAGAAACUUGGAGAGCAUGGCAGGUGGAAAGAACUAACUAGGUUAUCAAAGAGAAUUGUUGUUCCCAUGGCUACAGCGCAUUGCAGAUGAAAGCCAGGAAUAGUUCAAACUACCAAAAAUAAAUGAAUAAAUAGUAUUCAUAAGUAUUUGUUUUUUCAGGUGCACUGAAGGAUAGUCAUCUUCAGAUUUGAUCUGUUUUCGUCUGCCUACUUGAUCCAACACCUUUAACUUUGAACUGUCUACUGUUGUUGUCAAAAAGCCAUUUUGCCAUGAUCUUAGAUUGCAGUGAUCCGAAACAGUGUUUUACCCUCCUCUGCUGCACUCUGCUUUUUCUCUGCUCAGGCAACUUUUGAUCCAUAUCGCCACUGCGUUUUUAAUCAGAGCUUUCAAAUUUGACCUUGACUUGAAUCCAUCAAGCUGACAUUUCUGGUGGGAAAAAAAAGGGGCUCCAAUGGCCGCCUCAGGAAUCCAAUGAUCAGCUCUCCUAUGUGCUCAUGUAGGGUGUGAUUCUUUGCUCUCUGAGCGUUAUAAUUACAAACUUGUUCUAUCUGCACACUCUCAGCACCUAUUUAAAAAAGGUAUGAAGCCAGUGGAAGCUAUAGUCAAGAGGUUAUUAUCAUAAGUCUGUGAAACACAGCUCAUGUAGAGGAAAUUAUAGUCCUCCCCAUACCUCCCUUACCCUCUGUCCUCUCACUCUCUCUCGUCCUGUUUGUGAAUUACUUUUAACCUACAAUCCAAACAGCUUUGACAGGGAUUAUGGAGUUUUGAUGAGAGACAGAGAGAAGCUGGAAGAAAGUGAGUUUGGGGUAAUGAAGCAGCAAUGUCAAGAAAUGAUUUAUGAACGACUCUUUCCCCUCACUCUGCCUUCUCUGAGAUGUAGUCGCUUCAAAUAUCACAUUUCAGAAAAAUUCAAUUCUGACCACGCACCAAGUGAUCAGUGUACCAUUUCAAGAAAUUGGAUAGCAUUGUUUGUGUAAAAUAGUAUCCCCAAGCCUCCCAAUGAUAUGUCAGCAAUAUUUUCACAUAACAGCAGAACAAUGCACAUUCAGAGCAAUAUUUCAGGGAGAUUGUAAAGCUUGGCAAAGAAAGCAUUUAUUGGGAUUCUCGAGUUUUCUCUUUUUUUAAUUUUCGCAUCCGUGGGAGUAGUGUUGUGCAGUGUUCAUGAAUUUCAGACAGAUGAGUCACAAGCAAAACAGGCCCAGGGUCACUGCCUGAGCUAAUGAACAGUUUAUAGGCAGCAGCAUCUCCAGCCACUGAGUAGACUGCAUCUCAUUGUGCGAAAGAAAAAAAAAAGACAACAACAAAUCAUUGCAAAACAUCAUACAAUCAAAAAUAACAAAGACUGUGUACAAGAUAUUGGUCCAAAUUAGAUUAGAAAAACACUUUUGUUCUUGGCAUCAACACUAAAGGUAAUAUGUAGUUUUUAUGACAACCAUCUGUACUGCCUUUAUUGCAUUAUUGUGCUGUUUUUCCCUCUCACCGCACACUUAUAUUUUAGACAAUACGCUGAAAUGUUCAUCCAGUGUUGCUCAAAAUGAGUAAGCAGGUGGGAGUUUAAUGUUUUGCCUCAGGAAAAGCCAACAAAUACUGCCUGAAUGAUUAUAGACCCACACAUAUGUUGAAAACCAGUUAUAUAAUGCCUCAGUUAGUGGACACAUUGUAAGGUAACUGGUUAGGAGAUACGUGUAUGGCAACAAUUACCCAGAACUUUGUAGCAAGUGUUAUGAGACACUAAGCCUCAAUUAUAACUUAAAGAGCAUGCUGGUAAAUGAGUCACAGAUGGUUUCAAAGGUUUGACAAUUACAGUUGUGUGGGUAAGGCUGCAAAAAUGAAUAAAAAGAGAAGUCUAACCAGUGUAAUUGCUGUGUGUUACCAUUUGGAGCUGGUAACCCCGCUCACCUUGUGUAAAGUUCUAAGCGAUCUUACCAGUCCCUUUUAAAGAGAUAGUAUCAUGCUUUUCGUAUUCUAAAAACAAGUUUUUGAUGGAAAAUAGUUGAUGUUGAUACUAAAUGUGGGUAAAAUGUUAAAUUGUGAGGUAAAUGUGCUGUAAUCCUAGAAUAAAACUGACUAUUUCUCUGAACUGUCUAUUCAAAAAGUCAUACAAGAAUAAUGCAGGGAAGGCGGCUCGCUCAAUUUGUGACAUCACAGAUUGAAGACUCUCUUUAAAUGUGCAAUAUAGACACAAUAAUCAAAUUAAAUAGAAAUGGCCUUCUCUAUUGUUUCUCUUUUGAAGUCUCCAGGUGAAUUUAAGGGUCCAAAACACAUAGUUGAUUUAUUCAUUUAUUUAUUUAUUUUUUGUCAUUUUGAGGAGAUGAACUAAACUAGGACAAUUUUGGAGCGUGGCUACAGUGGCGAAAGCUUCUUGGGGGGCUCCUCUAUUAGAAAAAAAUAGAUUCAUAGUAAUUAAAGUUUGAAAGGGUCUUUUAAGAAACCACCACUAAAACUAAGCUAGAAGCCUGAGAUACAUAGUUUGUGAGCAGUAAAUCAAAUAAAAAUAACCUUUUCAUGAUGCACUUUUUUUAAGAAACAAGAAAUGUAUAAUAAAACUGAAUAAACAAGAAAUUAUCUAAUGGGAAAAAAGGAAGUCAAUGAAUUAAUGGAAAUGAGUAUAAGGAAAUAUUAGGAACAAUAAAAGACCUGAGAGAGCAGGUGUGUCCACGCUCAGGACCUCAAAUGACUACCCCAGAGCUCCAGGGUCAUGUACAGUUGAGUGCCCAGUUUUCAUCAGCUAGCUGUCACUAUCAUCAUGGUAAUUGAGUUGGUAAAAUUAAUGGUUGUAGUCGUGAGCUUCAAUGGACCUAUUGCCCUCAACCAGUUUUCGGUCAACCACCUUCAUGGACUGAAUCAUGAAUGAUCAGAAUUACACGAAUCGGGAUUGAAGGGGGCUUAUUUGCCUUAAAAUAUUAUUUUUAGUUGGUAGUGAUGUUGUCUCCCUCAUAAGACAGGAAUUACUGCCUAAUAAUGCAGAAAGAAAUGUGUUGGUGUUUUUCUGGAUUCCAUUUCAAAUCUUUUAUCUGAAAGUAAAGUUUUAUGACCCUCAAGCAGUUCAAAUCCUAUCUAAGUUGUGUGUAUAGUUUCACCCUGCAACAGUGGCUCCGGGGAAAUACCCCAUGCAGAAGACCUUCCAUCUUCUUUGACAUUUAUACAGACUUGAGCCCGUUAAAGAAUGCUGCACUGUGCUACCCUUAACAUAUUCUGGUUUUCCAUUUGUCUUCAUGCUGCCACCUUGCAAGGCAAUCAGACUGUCCCAUCUCGGCCAGAAGCAUGAAGGAUGGCUGUGACAGUUGGAGGCCCCAUGUUUGGCCUCCUGUGCAGAUGAUGUGUUACAUCCCUGGCAGGCCUUUGAUGGUCCUCAUGUUUCCCAAUCAAAAUCUAUCACCUCUUUUGACUGUACAUUGUUAUGACUGAAGAACAGAGGACUACAAACACAGGCGUCUGGUAGUCCCUCUCUGACUAGACUCCAGCCAUCUGUCUUUGUAAAGAGACUGGCCUUAUUCACGAAGGCCUUGGAUGAGAGUGUCUCGUGUAGUGGGAGGGACAGAGGAGGCUUUUUGAAUGAAGCCUUGAUCAUAACAAAUGCAUAUCAACAGACAUUUGCUGUGGAGGCACUGCUUUGUAUGCAGGAUGCAACCCCAAUGGUAAUCAGGAAGAACAAACUUAACCAAGCUUUUAAUUGUUGUUUGUGUAACUGUCUGAUCCCAUUUAAAUCACACAGCGGGAUCUGCACAACAUAAACGCAUAUAAGUGGUAUAAUAAGGGAUUUUGCCGUAUAUCCUCUCAAAAUGGAAUUAGAGGUUCCUGUAAGAAUAGAGUUAACAAAGCAAUUACGUCUUAAUCGUUUUAAACUCUGUAAAUGUUGGGUCUUGAGCCUGCGAGAAAAUUUUCUGUAUUGAUCCCAGCUUUGUUCCUCUUGCAUGUUUGCUGGCUGUAUAGAUAAGAGGGCUGUAUGUGGACAUAAUAAUGGGACCAAUGGUGACAAUCAGUGCAUAAUCUCAGCUUUUUUGUUAGAAAUUGCAAUAGCUUUGUUUUCGUCUGUUUCCUGUUCCCAUUAUCAACCUAUCUAAAACCAGGAAGCACAAACGCAUGAAACUUCUUUUUUUAAGUUUUCCACUUUUUAACACAACAACUGAUGAUCUAUCCAUUACAAAACACUUGGGUUUAAAGUCAUGGUUUACCUCAAGUGUGUAAAUUGACCCUGAAUCUAGUCUUUUUCAUGUUUAGGAUGAUUUAAAGUCCAUGAGAUUUAUGUGAGGUUGUCACAUGACAUAAAUAUGUGUCAUUAAUUUUCGAACCAAAUCUAAGAAUCACCAAGUAGACAAAAUAUUCCAACACCAUGAAACUUCUUUAGCUGUAAUUUAUGCUUUCAGGACAGUGGGGCCAUGUUGGCUAAGUGCACCACUUUUGCCUCUCUCAAUAGUCAAUCAUCUCUCUUGUAUGGUUUGAAAGCUGGACUCAUCAACCACAGACUGAUUCCUAGUCGAUCCUGAACGCUGUAAAGUCAAUUCAAGUUUUUAUUUUUCAUUGUGUACCAUUGUUCCCCUGUUUACACUCAGUCAUAUCCUGACACUUAUGUGCAUCACAGAAUAUUUCAGACAUGCACAGACGCUCCUUAGGUAGAGACAAACAUUUAUUUUACUCGUCCAAAUUGUAGAGCUGCUCUGCUAACUAGUUUACUCCUCUCUUGUGUCUAUAUUGAAUAGCCUCAUAGACUAUUCAUGUGCUUAUGUGUUCAAUGCUGAAACUAGCAGAUCCUGACAGAGUGGUAACUUUAAUAGUGGACUUUGGUUAAAAAAAAAGCUUGGCCCCCUGACUUAGCUCAAUAUGAGUUUAUCCGCAUUGGCAGAUUUGACAGUUUUAUGCUCUAUGUUCAGCCAGUUAGUUGACCAUUACUUUUGGGCAUGCUUUGACAGCGACAAAAACAAGCUGCAGUAUGAUGGCCAUCGAGAAGUGUUUUCAGUUGUCUGCAGCAGACAUCAAAAUAGUUACUCGCAAUGAUUGUAAAGCACAUGUGAUGAAGGGUGAAGCAAAAAAAAACAAAAAACAAAAACUUCUACACCCUGAACAGCUCCAGGAGUUUCUGAGCAGAAAGCACAGAAAAGCAUCUGCACUAGCAAAAUACAUCAGCCACCUCACUUUAGUCAUUCAAAUGAAUAACUUAUGGGAGGCAUUAAGAAAAAUAAGAAAUAUAGCAGGGAUGGCCCAGAGCCUAACAAGAAAACCAGCAAAUUCAUUCAUCUUGAUAACCAGCCUUUCAGUGAAUUAGAAGAUGUAGGUUUUGGCAUGCUAAUACAAAAGCCUGCAUCUUUACUUUGUUUGGUAUUUGGACAGCCAAUUGGAUUGAUUAUUUCUUUUGUUUCUCAACUGCAAACAGUCCCUUUCAAACUUUUGUUCUGAAUAAAAUAUUCAUUUAAAUAAUGUCUUAUCAGCCAAGUAUAUUUUGGCUUUGAAGUUUUGCCUUUCAUCAAAAUUCUGUGUCAAAUGAAAAAUACAUUCAAACACAGUCUUAUCAAUAAAUUCUGCCAUAAAGUCAGACCUCUUUUCAAACCUGCUGACACUAGAACAAAACCCUCGGUGAGCUUUUACAGUACAUGAAUUACUGCCUGAGUUGAAACAAUUAUUGUUCAGAAUUCCUUCCAGGCAUCUGAGUGACAGAUCAACGACUCACUUUAUUGCUGUUAAAGGAGACGUUGGCCAUUAGGUGGAAAAAAGAUUCUUUACUUUUCCCCUCAAGUGGUGCAGCUGAACCACUAUUUGCUGACUUAAUAGAAUCUGCUGUAACUCAUAUAAAAGAAGGCUUUUGUCUUCCUUGUGCCUUAUUAUUAACUUCAUAAUUCAACACAGUAUGGCUGUCAUUCCUUAACACCUUUUUAAAAAGUAGAAGUCGACUGUAAAAUAUUGAAAUGGGAGAAGCAAAUUGAAAAGUUUGGUAGUUGGUUCACGUACAUACCCAUUGGCUCUGUGGAUUUAUCCAGUAUUCUACUUCAUGUUCAUCUCUUUUGGCUUUUGCAGCUCCUUUGAGAUGGGAUUAAAAAUACAUUUGAGAGUUGAGUAAUAGAGAAAUGUGUAUUUUAUUUACUAGCAGAAUCCAGUUGGAGGUUUGCGGAUCACUGUGUCAAAAUCUUGUUUCCUGGUCAUGACUGGAAAAACAAGUCAUUUGAGGCACAUAUAGAGUAAGAUGAUAAACACGCAUGCACAUAUUCACAGAGGCCGUAUACAAAAACACAUAAACACACAUCAUAAAAAAAAAAAGACUCCCGCUGAAAGACCUCCUGAUGAGGUUUAGCACUCUGAGCCAGAAGGCUGGCAGCGUUUUUUCAGACAGGCCCCCGAGCACACUCCAAAAAACCCACUCUCCGGCUCCUGUACAUGAAAUAUGGAACAAAGAUAAAUUAUACACAACACCUGCUCAUUUGACAUGCCAAAAAAACGUGCCUUAUGCGGCGGGACAGGAGCUUCUGUUGCGGCACACCUGUUCCCCAAUGUGACAAGGCAGUGACGCCUCAUUUAUGUGCCCCCGCUGAAUCAUUCUGCCCGCAUGUAUUAUUGAUACAUUUAAUCUUUCAUGUCGCUCAGUGUUUGACCUCUCACUGCAGGCUUCUCAGACAGGGUAUAUCAUACAAUGUAGUCUUUGAUUUGUCAGUGUUUAAUUGCUUUUUACAGAGAUGAAUGUGUUUCAAGAGGGAAGGAUAUUGAUUCAAGGUUGAGUGAGCAGUAAUUCUAUGUCGUAAUUACACUUACAAGACUGUAAGUCACAUGUGCUCGCAGGUGCACUCUAAUUUAAGACCGAUGAAUAGAUUUGACAUUCGAGACAUAUCAGAAGAAAAUGGCAUGGAAGAUGUUUUACAGAAAAAUGUACAAUUCUAAAUUCCAAAGCCAUAUUUAAGCCCCUUUUAUGGCUUUGUAAUGUCUAUCACAGCACAGAGCAAAAGUUUUGGAAGGAAUUUGAUUCUGAAGCGAUCAUGAUGCCAGUGAAACUUUCAUGGCUAACAAGGGAAAUCAGGCUGCAAUACCCUCAUGCUUCCUUCGAAAAAUAAGAUUUAAAAAAGCUUCAACGCAUCAGACACAUUAAUCUAAAGUAAAACAAGGAGAAAAGCUGCAACUGAAAACAUGGCUGGAAAAGCUGCAAUACUUCCAUACUGUAGAUGUAUAACAUAGAAGACGCAAUUUCAAAAAUACACAAACUGAGAAAAGAAAUGCAGCAGAAAAAAAAAUGCAUAUUUAUCAAGGGUAAUAAGCUGUGAUAUGACAAAAGUCAGGGGGAAAAAAGAGAGCACAAAAGAAGAAUAAAAUUGACCCCCCAAAAUGAAUGUAUUUAUUCUUUUGCUCAUUCAUUCAUUCAUUUAUGUAUAGUAUGCACAUUUAACAUCUAACAAAGUUCUUACCCCGUUUUCAGUCACGUUUAAGGCUUUUAAAAACUUUUUUUAGGCCCUCAUAAAUUAAAUUCAAGGUGUCAAAAGUAUCAACAUGUCUCUGUGGACUUCUUUGCCACACCAUAAGACCCUUCAGAAGUGUGUUUUUCUUCAGCUAUCAACAACCUGUAGCGGGCCUCAGCUUCACUGCUUUCUGUUUGUCUAUUACAAGAACUCAUCAAACUUCCAGUUCAUGUUGGAACCAUUGAUUGGCAGAGAGAGUAUGGCGCUCACGCUCCGAUCCUUUGUACCUUACCUGUCAUUCAAAGUUAAAUGAAGUUAUUAUCAAUUCAAUCAAGAAUCCACAGGCUCUGACAGCCUAAUGAUAAUAAUGAUUAAGUCAGAGAGGGUUUCCUGGAGCUAAAGGCAUCAUAAGGUUAAACUUCUCAUGUUAUUCAGAACCAGAUAGUCUGCAGUAGCCCAGUUGCUAGGAGAAGCCGGCAACAGAGCGUUGGAUUAAGUAAAGUAUGAUUCAUCGCUAUAUGAAAAUAACUUUAACUGGAGAGUUCUCUAAUAUUAAAGCAAUAUGAAUCAAACAAUGUUAAAUUACAUUUCAAUAAUCAAUGCAUUUUAAAGGGAACUAAUUUAUCCCACUAUUACAUUUUCUGUUAAGAAUAAAAAAGUAAUUUUUUAGAUCUAAAUUAUGUGAGAACAAGUCAUUUGAUCUCUUAUUUGAUUGACACAUGUUCCAUCUGUUAACAUGAAGGAGGCAGACUGAAAAACAUCUGCAUCUACAGCUGGUGAGAUACAUGUGUGUGGUCCAAUUGUGUUGGCCGUACUUAAAGGGGCUGCUCAGUAUAGGGUUUCUUUGAACCCUGUUAAUACAUAGAAUAUUUCCAGUGUUCCCAACUGUAUCAAAAACAGACAAUAAAUGUUCAGGCUGGAUCAGACUGUAGGCAACCCUUUGAAUGCACCUAACUGACAGUUAUAUUUAACUACUAUACUGUAUCUGAAUACCUGCAUUUGUGCUGUAAAAACAUGCUGUUCCUCUUCCAUCUGCUCCCUCCCUUUAUCCACAUCUCACUGUAAUGUAUGCCCACCGUCUCCUUCUGCCUGUGUGUCCUCACAGUCAUGAUAACAGUUAUUAUCACCCACACAAGGAGGCAUGGCACCCCCCAAGACGGAGACUGCCAAGGUGCACUUCUGAAAGGUCACACAGGAGGGGAGAUGGUGGGGAGGAAGUGAGUCACAGUUGCCCAAAAGCAGGUGGGCAGGUGAGGCAUCAAUAUGAGGUGAAUACAGUUUUUAUAGGUCAACAAGCAUGAUUGCAGGUGUUAAAUAUGAAAGAAGUCAAAGCAAGAUAUGAAUCCAAAGGGUUUAAGGUUGCAGAUGUUCCCAAAACAUCUGUCCACAGUGCGUUGCACAGCGUGACCUUACAGAGGAAGCAAAUGGUGAGACAGGUGAUGUGCAGAGGAAAAUGGCUUAGUGGUGAUGAUGGGCAAGUAGACAGGUGAAGAAAAGCAUAAAAGGUUUAAACAAGAACUACAGAAAGGAUGUAAACAAAUUGAACACUAAGUUUAAUAUUCAAAGAACUGGCAGUGUCUGAAAAUGGAUCAGUUUGUCAAAAAGAAAACUCAUGAUCCCUGAAUUACAUAUUUAGAUAGUUUAGGUAAGAGAUUCUUAUGCCAGAGUUCAUCUUGACAAGUGCGCUGAUGUUCAGCUCUGAACAGCACUCACCAUGACUGGAUAUUGAGGGCCUUGCACUUUGACAAAAUUAAAAAGAUGAAUUUAGAGACUUUUCAGGAGUGCUUUUUAGGAUUUAUUUUAAUUAAAAACAGUUUAUUUGUAUUUGAUCUUAUCUUGGUUUGCUAGUUGUAAAAAAAAUCUCAGUUUAAUUGAAAUAUAUUGAGUGUCCUCUCCAAAUGUUUAAUUUAUUUACAAGCUUGAAAAUCAACUGUUAAUGUUUUGUUGCUUCUAAGUAUCUUAACAAGGACAAUUAUGCUUAUAAUUUUAAAUAUUGCAGUAUUUUUUUUUUUUACAUCAGUGUAUUGGACAUUUUUUCUCCUUGAAUAAACAAACUCAAUAGGUAUAAUUUUACCUGUUUAAUUGUGUAUAUUUCAAGUGUACAUGUCUUUUAUUUAGAAGAUAGAUCAGUGGAUAUUAUGGACCUGGGCAACUCUCUUCCAAGACUACAGCCUCUGUGUACAUCAGGUAGUUUAACCAUUUGGCCAAACCAACAUUCCUUAAAUAAUUAUAUUUACAUAAUUUUAAUAUCUGAAUCUACUGCCUAUUAUCUGAUUAUAUAUCGAAGAAACUGCAAAUGUGUGCUGGUGCAUAACACCAGUACCACAUCCUUUUUGGCUGCCCAAAUAUACCACUAGUCAUUUUUAUCUAUUUAUUCAUUUUAUCCAUGUAAGAACACAAACACAGUCAACAAACCAGACUAAUUCUCUUUGCUCUCUGCCUGAUAAUCUGCAGGUAGAGCAUAUAUUUGAUUGCAGUGUCUUAUACUAAAUAAGAACCCUUUGUGUAGCCCUGUUGUCUAAGCAGCUGAUUGUUUAGUUGAUAGUUGAUGGUUGUUAUUCUGAUUCUUGUGAAAUAAUACAUCAUUAACCACCCUGAUCUACACAAAGAUAACCUAGUGUGAUAAUAUAACCAUUGUUAUACUUAGGCAUGAUUGUAAAAUGUGCUGCUUGUGAAUGCUGUCAAAGGCACAGACACAUACAGCAAAAAAAAAAGAUGGAGCCUAGGGGGACAUGCUAAAAUCCAUUGGCGAACAGAGAACAAUUAUGAAAGAAUUUAACCCGAUAAUGGUAUAAGCAUAUACAGACUGAUGGCAUAUGGAUGUGUUUGUAUAGAUAUAUUUAUAGAUUUUCAAUAUAGCUUCCCCCCUUUCAACCACCAUCUCCCCUGCCACAGAUAAAACAGGAACAAUGAAUACCACCUGGACUAAAUACAAAAAUAAGAAUCUGGUUCUGCAACCCAGUCCCAUGGUUACCUACUGUAAAUAGAGAUUAGUUCUUGGCUCAACACACCGGGUUCAUAUCUGUCUUGACCUCCUGUGCUGUUGGCAAAAACAAACUCUUUUUAAUUAAUUGAAUAAAACCAUUUGCUAGUAAUAUUAUGCACUAUUUUCUGAAUUCAAAGACAAAACGUUUUGGCACUUGUUCAUUUAUUAGCAGUUAAACUUCAACUCACAUUUACACCAAGAUGUCACUUGUAGUAAGACAAAAAUAAGUGACACAGUCUUCACUUUCUCUUGCCACUUCUGGUUUGGCUCCAUAGUCAUUUAAAUACAGAUGAAUAUAAAGAUACAUGUAUUGAUAGUACAUGGCAGGUUUAAGGGAUUAACUGAGAGCAGUGAGGACAUGACAGGAGGAUGAAGAGUGAAGUGAAGUAAAUAUUCAGUGCACAAGCUCUCAAUGUAGUGUCAACAGCUUAUAGAUAAGAUAGACCACCAGGGGAGACUGCCUCCAGCCAUACACUUGAUAUUGAACUAUUAAAACAAAGAGCCUCUGUUUGAGAGUUGAUUAGAUUUGAGUAGCUAUUGAGGUGAAAUUAUACGAUCAUCAAAUACAGUUUAUGACCAUCAAGCUCAUUGAUUUCCGUUAUGAAAAGCACUAAACAAGACUCGCGUGAGUGGGCGUCUGCUGCUCUGCAUAAAAUUCCCACACUGCAGUAGUGGAAGUAAAAGACAUUAGGGAGACAUUAUGAUUUACCUCUUGCUGUGAAAUGAAUAAAAGACCAACUCAUUAAGUAGAAAAUGUGGAAAUGCUGUUGCUGGCUGCUAAACAGACGGGUUCAGGGAGUUUACAGCACUCCCCAAAUGGCCUUUGAGGAUUGUUUAAGUGUCAGCAUUUGCUGGUCAAUAUGAUGCAUGUAGAACUAACGUUGAAUUGAAGAAAAUGUUGAAUCAGACAAAGUGACAGAGUUUUACAAAGUGACAGAGGUGCAUUACAGGAGUGAUUGAAUAAAGUGAGAAAAAAGCAUUCAAUCCAUUUACGCUUGUACAGAUCGGCUGCCACUUUGCUAAAUGCAAUUAGGCCCAUCCACUCUGUCCAAGUGACACCCCGAAGGCCUUUUAAGAAGUCAGCACAAAUAGAUCUCUGGGUUAAAGACAAAAGAUGGAGGAGGGAGGGGUAAGGUAUAGACAGAAGAGGGCCCUCCUCUCCCACUGAGCUUGUGUGCAUGAGAGAGAUAGGCCAGAAUGAAAGAGGGACUAUCCACACAUCCCCAUAUAGGAAUCAGUAUUGUUUACCCCCCAACAGGGAAGCAGGGAGAAUGAAAACAGGAGUGCUCAUAAAUCAUACUUCACCAUUUUCAGCCCUCUCUCCAUCUUCAUCUCCCUCCCUCCAGUCUGUCUCAAGCUUUCUGGUUCUCAGAGGAUAAGAGGAUGUAUGGGAGUAUUGAAAGAGUGAAGAGCCCUUCAGAUUUGUGUUGGGUUAUCGUUCUUUUGUGAAGUUCCUCAUGAGAUCAAUAGCAUCUCUUGAAGGGGGCGAGCAGGCAUCCUAAGCUAGCCAAGCGUUUCCCACACUUUGAAGUAAAAGUGCUCUAACAAUCCCCGUUUAUUUCAUUUUUUUAUCUUCUCAUCUCAGAGGAGCUCUUUUUUGUUUUGGCUCUGGUUGUUAUCUGUUUUUGAAAUGAUUCACCUUGAACCCCUGGUUUUCCAUCUAUCACCCAACACAAAGGGUUACAGCUUGAACCAUGUCUGUAAAGUUCCAUUGAAGUUCUGUACUUUUUUGUAGUUCCAUGGCUCUCAUCCAUCCCCUUCACUUUUUCUGCAAUGCCUUUGUCUUCCAUGAGUACUUUGUGUUCAACAGAUGGGGCAGGAAAGAUCAGAUUCCACAAAAGCAUUUGACUGAUUUAUCACAAAUACUAUUAUUCAAAGUUCUAUAAGGAGCUAUAAAAACAGUCAAAAACUCAUUUAAAAUUAAAGGGACAUCCCAGCGUAAAAUUAAUUAAGGGUCAAACACAGCAUAACACCGAGUUUAACACCCUGUCGAGAGAUAAUUGUUGCCGACUGCUUGCUUCUUUAGUUAUACCAACUUCAGCAACAACUGCAGGAUAGCAAUACACAGCAGUCUACGUCCACCAUGCGUAAACCUCGAUCAAAAAGCCUCUCUGUAGCCACAAAUAAUGCUCAGAACAGCACCUAACUUUAUCAACAGUACAUAUAGGGUACCAGCCAUAGCAGUAGCCACCAAACAUCUCUUUAACUUUGCCUGAUUUCUUUAGCAAAGAGACUGAAGACAACUCAUCCACUCUCCUCACGCAGCCACUUGUUUGUGGGGGAGCCCUGACGAGUCGAUCACUGAGUGCAUCCAAAUUUUGCAUCUCAAGGAAAAACAUUUAUGGUUAUUACUCCAUGGAAAUGCAAUCAGAGUUCUUGUGUUUCCUGUAUGUGCACUGCAUAUGCGGUAGUUCUUCUGCCUUAGCGUCUCAGUCUGAUUGCAUUAGCAUUAAGUUGUAAUCAUAAAAUUGCCGCUGCACUUGGUGAUCGACUUGGCAACUCGUUACGGUGUUUGACCAUAACUUAAAUUUAUGCCGGAAUAUCCCUUUAAUGGAUAAGAAUCGUGUAGGUCCAGAGGGAAUAUCUGGUAAACUUAAGUGGUCUACAGCAUUGAUGGCAUAGCAGAGAGAAAAAGCAGUUUGUUGGAUCAUGUCAAGGUCUGCCAGUUUCAUUGAAAGCCGUCUUCAGACAACAAGGUAGAGAAGAGUCCAAGGGUGUGGGAACAUCAUAAUGAGAGCUUCCAGUGGUGAACUUUGAAGAUAAUCAAGUCUGUACAGUUCAUUUCUAUAGAAAAAAAAGCAUAACAAAGUGCCAGCAAUAAGCUUUUCCAUGCCCCAUGCAAUUCACCAUCUUAUUUAGCUAGGCUUAGGCUUUCUAACAGGGUAAUUUAUUACAUUCAGCCUUGUUGUCAAACUCACCUUGAGAUUUUUGUUGGAAGGAUCCUUGAAAAUAUUCCCAAAUAUGAAUCAAAUGAAAUGGCAGUCGAACCCUUAGCCAUAAAAAGAAAUCUUGAAAAAAAAAGUAUCAUCUUAAAAAAUCAGUUUUUUAUGCAGCCAGAAUUUUUUGGUGGACCCCUUUUCCUCUCAUGAAUAACUCUGGUAGAGCCACAUUUUCUCAGUGUUCUUUUAAAACUUCCUCUUCACAAGCCAUUUCUGCUAGUCUUGCUACUUUUUCUUCGACAAUACUUGUAUGUGGAUACUACAUCACCUGACCUGCACUGUACCCUCACUUUGUCACAGGAGCUUCCUUUUUUCUCCGAGUGCACCGGCUUCCCUGACCUGACUGCAUCAAAUUCUUAGUCUUUGUAUUUUUUGAGGCUUCAUGGCAGGGAGCUUUAGUCACUUGCACUUACACUAGCUUAAGCACAGCAUCAUGCAUAUCACCCCACUGAUCAUGUGAGAGAGUGUGUGUGUGUUUUCCUGUGGACCAGUAGGUGGCUGGAAGUCUCUUGUGUGAAACCAUAAAGCAAGUUUUGAAAAAUGUAACACUCCCUCUUGAGUGGCUUCUACCCUUCAUCCAUGUCAACACCGCACUUUCAAUUUGAUUCAGUCUGUAGCACAGCUGUCUGUCAUGGUGGUGAGCUCAGGACUGUGAGACUGUCAAAUCAAGGCUCUAGAGAGGAAGUAAAAAGUUGCUGGUAGUCUGUCUCCAUGACACCUGUAACACCAAUGCUGUGAUCCAGAUCACAUGCUGGAUCCAGCUCCAGUGAGACAAAUUUUAGAGUUGGGUGCAGUCAGAGGGAAAAAAACAUUUUGUGCUGUCUUGCUGCUAUAAUUGGACAUAGUUGGAGAUAAAACUGGAUGUUUUGGCAGAAAAACAUCUUUACUGCAUGCAGGCACAGAAGAGACCUCAGUCUGUGUAUCCUUAUAGUUUAACAAAAACCUACACUGUAUGUGGAGGGUGUAUUCAUUCCUGUUAAUCAGAGGGUUAAAUGCCAAUUAAGUUUACCUUUCCCUUUACUUGAGGACAGAUCAUUUGCUAGUUUACAUGUGUUUUUAUAUAUAAUAAAACACAGUAAAUGCAGUAUUUAUGUAAAAAUCUACUUAAGCAAGAAAUCAACCGGGCUUUAUUAUUCAUUCUCUCUUCAUUCUUUAAAAAGUCUAUAAUAGUACUGAGUUAUAGUCCUGACGAGUCGAUCACUGAGUGCAGUGGAGUUUCGCAGCCCAAGGAAGAACAUUUAUGAUUAUUACUUCACGGAAAUUCAAUCAGAGUUAUUGUGUAUCUUGCAUGUGCACUGCAGACGUGGUAGUUCUUCUGCCUUGGCGUCUCAGUCUGAUUGCAUUUCCAUGAAGUAAUAAUCAUUAAUUUUCCACUGCACUUGGUGAUCAUCUUGUCAGGGUUCCCCCACAGACAAGCAGCAGCUGGAGGAGAGAGGGUGAGUUGUGUUUGGUCUCUUUGCUAAAGAAAUUAGGCAAAGCUAAAAAGAUGUUUGGUGGCUAGUGCUAUGGCUGGGACCUUAUAUGUACUGUUGAUGAAGUUAGGUGCUGUUCUGAGCAUUAUUUGUGGCUGUAGAGUGCCGUUUUGGUUGAGGUUAGUGCAUGGAGAUGUAGACCACUGUGUAUUGCUAUUCUGUGGUUGUUACUAAAGUUGGUAUAACUAGGGAAGCAAGCGGUCGGCAAAAUUAAUCUCUCCGAGGGGUGUCUGUGGUACGGUGUGUUUGAACCUAACUUAAAUUUAUGCCGGACUAUCCCUUUAAGUAGUAAACAUAAAUUUGGUUUAUUAUUUUUUCCCCUUUUUCAUCUAUUUCUUGUUUUCACAAACCAGAUUUUCAUAUCCACUGACUUUUAAUCACCUCGGCGCAGUGUGCAGCCAGACUUGGCGGUGAGAUGAGAAACAGCUACAAAUGUCUGCAAAUGUAAAACUAACAGCAGUCACAUCAUGUUUUAAAACACCUUGCAUGUUUUCUGCAGCUUUGCUGUAGGACAGACAGUAGGACAUACACAGAUCCAAAAGACAACAACAACUUUCAUUCCCUAUCAUGAAGAAAGUUGGCUCUAGUUGUCCAAAGUGAUGAUUUGAACCCCUUGUCUCUGCUAUUGUUUGGCUUUUUCUCUCUCCAUCCUCUCUCUUAGUUGGAUUUCAUCGUGUGUUCAGUUUUCAGAUGUCAAAAUUGGUAUACAAAACAACUGUACUGCUACCACCUCAAAAAUCCUAUUGCAUCUGACUUUUGGACUCUUUGUUUCUAUCUAGUUUGUGAUAUUUUCACACUGCUGACAUUUUUGCCUCAGAGUUGCUCAUGCUAAUAUCUUGUGUUUAUGCUUUGUCUUUGAACCACAUGCCCUGGAGAGUUACUGUAGACUGCCAUAAAGUGUUUUUUGUUGUUGUUGCUGUUGUUGUCUGGAUGUCUGGGCAUGUGUCGUCUUGCAAUUAAGUUCAAGCCGUUGCUUCAGCUCCACCUAUUAUCAUAUACAGUAUCUAAGCGCAGUGAGGCAAACCCACAACACUCAGUUGCGCUAAUUAACUUGUACUUGCGUUCUUAGCAAAUUGUGCAUGUGACGACUGACAUCGAUGAUCAGAUGAGAUAAUAAAGGCUCACAUUAUCAAUCACCAAUCGAUAAGAAAAUGCCAAGCUCAGCCCUGUUCUGAUAGUUAGGAUAGUAGUGUUCCAAUAGUUAGGGUCAGGAUGUUCCUAUGUUCCUGCAAUCAUCAACUUACAUUUCCUAACACUACCAAGCAGCUCUGUCAGCUUUGCUAUCAGGAGUAUUAAAGCAAGGUGAAACACCAUAAAGAAGACAUGCUGACACGAGCUGAGCCUCACAGGCAACACUUCCUCUGCAGCCUCCUACCAAGAUUGGCAGACCCGAAAGCCCCAACAAUGACCGUAAUCCUAACCUGUGAGUAAGCACUGCCGGAGAGGCUCAAAUCCCUUCACUGAGCUAGUCUCUUAACAGGGCUCUGUUCCUGUUAAAUUUUACUGAAACUCCUUGGGGGGGAGUCCCGACCCAUUUCCACCCCUGCUCAUAAAGAAAAAAAGACAGAGGCUUAAAAAAUGGAAGCACAGAGCAGAAAAAGGACAGCAGGAUGGAGCAAAAUACUGCAUUUUCACCACGGGGCUGUACAUCCUGUAAUUUAGACAGGAAUUAACACAUUGGGAGGUACAAAUGACAAAAUUGCACAAUAAUCAAAUGACGUUAAGUAGUGUAAUGAUGCUUUUCAAGUACCAGAUGCUUCACAUAAUAAACCAUUUCCAUUUAUUGCUAUGUUCCAAUUUGUUUCCUCUGAAGGAAACAGUAUUAAGCACUGUAAACGUAUGGAUUAAGUAUUUUGACAUAUGUACUUAUCAGUAAUAUCCAGGUUUAAUGAGAUAGGCCGCGGAUAUUCGAGAGAAAACAAAUCUGUGAUGAAUUAGAGCGUGUAUUUACUCUUCCCUUCGUGCAAUUAGUUUCAUUUGUGUCUGCAAACAAGCCUACUUGUUCAUACGUAUCUACAUGCCUGUGUGUAUGUACCAGACAUGCAUAUCCAAACAUCCCUGAGAAUUAUUUGUGUUGAGCUAUCAGCCAGAUGCAAGAUGUCUCUCAGGCCUAACCUCGAGUGACGGCCUGCGCUCGCUGCCAGACUAAUAAACUUAAUGGACUCAUGGCUAACCUGAGAUGAGUUCAUCAGGUGGCUUCAUUUCACGCUGGCAUUUGAAACUCCUCAUAUUUAUGCAAAUUGGCAAUGCAGACAAGGGCCAAGGCCAAGUAUUGCAAGUAAGGAACCAUCGUACAGAAUGACUUGUUCCUACCUGUAUUAUUUUAGGUAAGACAGGCAUUAUUACUGAAAAAACUUGGGUAACACUUAACUUAACAACUAUCUCUGUAACACAGUAUAAAUAUAUGCAUGAUGCGUUAUAAUCACGUUAUAGCACUGCAUAAGUACAGUUAUAAACACUCAUAAAUGAUCAUAAUGAUUUAUAGCAAUAAUCAUAACACAUUAUAAAGCAUUUUAUCAUGACUUACAAGGUCAGGUAUUAUAAUGUGUUAUAACUGUUAACAACUCACUGACAAUGCCCCCAUUGAUAAUUCAUUAUAUAUAUUUAUGAUGUUAUAAUUAGCUUAUAAACUUGUAUAACUAUAGUUAUAAACACUCAUAAAUGAUCAUAAUGCUUUAUAGCAAUAAUCAUAACACAUAAUAAAGCAUUUCAUCAUGACUUACAAGGUCAGGUAUUAUAAUGUGUCAUGCUUAUUGUUAUAAAGCCUUAUGAUAAUUAAUGAGUGUUUAUAAUGAUAGUUUUACAAGUUUAUUAGCAAAUUAUAACACAUCAUAAAUAUAUGUACAAUGUAUUAUUUAUGUGGGCAUUCUCAGUGAGUUGUUAACAGUUAUAACACAUUAGAAUACCUGACUGUGUAAGUUAUGAUAAAUGCUUUAUAAUGUGCUAUGAUUAUUGCUAUAAAUCAUUAUGAUCAUUUAUGAGUAUCUAUAACUACAGUUAUACAGUGCUAUAAUGUCUGUAUAACACAUUAUACAUAUUUAUAAUGUGUUAUGGAGAUAGGGGUCAAGUAAAGUGUUGCCAAAACUUGUUAUGUGAUUAUGUUUAAAUAUAGUCUGCUGUAUGUUAUUGAACACACUAGUAAAACAGUAAGUUUUAUAGGCUAUUUUAUGUGUGUGAUUCACUGGUUCACUGUCACUGGUUAUGUCUAGGCACUGCUGUUUUAUCAAAGCAGUGUUUUAUUUCUCAGACGGAGUUUGGGGCACUUGGUGUUCUGCUAUUUCCUGGAGUAUUUGUCCUGCUUUCUAACAAAGUUUGGCUGCAAGAUGAUGUCACCCAUCAUGACUCAUUGAUUCUCACGAAUUCACCUUGCUCAACCUUUUUCAGCUCCUCACAAAGCAGUAACUAUAUUUAGGCAUGCUUCUCUCUGGGUUUAAGACACACACAAAAGAUGAGCUGUAUUUAUUCCUAUAUAAUUAUGUCUGUUUGGCAUUUCGGAAGAUCAACACAAGCCCUCAUUCAGAAGGAGAGACUGGACUGCUGUAAAGCCAUAAUAAAUCAGUAUAAACCUUAUUGAUUUUUCAUGAUAUAUAAACACUACUGCAGGAUCCGCCACUAACACUGCACUGCUCUUAUUUAAAUCACACUUUGGUCCUUAAAUACAGCUCAGAUCUGAGCCAAUCAGAGAGACACUUGUGGUGGAGAGUCUGCAAAUCUGCAGCCAUCUAAAGGGCACAGCAGAGACAGAUGUUGGAGCCGCCUAUGCUGCUGAGGCUGCUGCUUCUGCUUGCAGACACUGCAGCUGUUAAAAUGGCUCUGCCAAGAUUAUCAUACCCCCCACUAAGACACACACACACACACACACACACACACACUUGCACACAUAGUCUGUCUUAUAGUUGUUAUGUUGAGUUCUUGCACUAUUCAUGGUUUUCAGCAAGCACUUGCUUUUCCUUCUCUGUUUGGUAUCCUGUUUACAUCUCUGUUGAGUUCCUAUUGAUUCUCCUGCCUUCUACUGCGUGUUUUUAAACCUUCACCAGGCUCUCAAUUUAAAUCUGAAUCAACCCUCUUGCAUGUGUACAUUUAAGUGAGGUACAUUUUUUAAAAAUCCAUAUAUCUGUAUUUCUUCUCUCCAUCUCACAUCUUCUCCCGGUCCUCCUUAUUCCCUCUCUUACCUUACACUCCUUCAUCCAACGGCUUCAUUUCUCUGCAGGAUGGAUCCUCUCCGCCUGCUGCCGGCUGGAAAAUAAAUUGCUCCACAAAAGCCCAAGCAGCUCAUGAAAAACCCACCUCUGCCCAGCUUAAUCAAUAGCAAAGCCUCUAAUUAAACGCUCCUUCAGUUUCAUAUGCUCAUACUCCUCAACCUGUAAUUUUCUGUCCAUUUUAAGCGCUCAAGCUAAUCUUUGCCUGCUUUCACCAGCAGGUCAAAAUUAGAUUUCAUUUUUUACCCCCCUCCUCUUUUUACCCACACUUCUCCACCUCAGUUGCACAUGAAUGUCAAGCAGCACUGUGGGUUUGGGGAUCGCAAGAGGCGAUCAUAGAUUUAGAGCUCACAAUUAUGUCAAAGGGCUGGUAAAAAAUUAAUGAAAUGCCAAGUCCUAAGAGACCUUAAACCCCACCUCACCCAUCAUUUACAUAAAUUAAUUUCAGUCAGUAUAUUUCUUUAUAGACAGAUCCAUAUUGGUGCGGUCACAUAUCAUAGAUUUUCACACAGGGCUAAAGCGCUUGUAAAACAUAGAACUGAGCGCUAGUUGUUUAUUCCCGUGUGUCACAGCUUUUCAUGCUUUUCACAGUGACAUCACUCGAAGCCAGUCUGCAGGCAACAGCCACAUCAGUCAAUCUGUGUUUCCAGCGCAUAUGGCCUUGUUGCUAUAAAUCAUCCACUGUGUUUUUUUCAUGCCCACCAGAGGUAAUUGGCAGCUUUUUGUGUAACUUCAAAAGGAAUGGGUGGAAAAAAAUAAUAAGAUGGAUAUAGCGAAAGGUCAGAACAGUAGGUGGGUUUCUCGCUGACAGCUUGCACUGAUGCUGUGACAGAGGAGGUACAGUUGCUACCAAGAACAGAGACAGUGUAGGCCUGGACGAUAUAGAAAAAAAGCAUAUCGAUAAAAAAUAAAUCAUAUUGAUCGAUAUCGAUAAUUAUCGAUAUGAUUAUUAUAAUUAUUUAACAUAUAUUUUAAUUGCAGCCCUGGAUGUUUUUAUGCUAUUGCUUAAUGACCUACUUUUAAUAAAGAACACACAAGCACUGAAUUCAAAUUCAAACCUUUAUUCAACCACCUUUUUUUUUUUUUACCACAACUGAAAGUUUUUUAAAAAAGAACUAAAAAAGAAAUCAACUUAAGUGGCCUGAGUGACAUCAGUAAAUACUGACAAACAUAAAGACUAAAGUGACCAGAAAAUCUGAUAAAUAAAUAUUUAAAUAGUCUUUUGAUGAAAAUAAACAAAACAAACAAAUAUAUAAAUAAACAGAAUAGCUUUAGGUGGGAAUAGCAUACUACCAGGUUUAACUGUGUGGGAAACUGCCCACAGCCUGGUGUCUGAACACUAAAAUAUUUCUCCCGGGGUCGGGAGAUUUAUUUUUUUUUAAUUAUCAUGUGAUUGACUUAAUACACAAACUAAGCACGAGAAGCAGGACUUAUCCACGCCGGUGUUGUGUCGUAGAAUGCACCCCUGCCGAAUGCACCCCCUGCUAGUAGCCAUGAUCCAAAUACUCGCGUCUUUGUAAAAUAUGAGCUCAUUUUCUUCCACUUUAAGAAGCUAAUGAGUGGACGGGAUACAGGGGUGCAUUCUACGGUACAACACCGGAACGUAUUUCCUCCGCACCCUUCUCACCUUUUCAACCCCUGACCCAUUUUCAUGCCUGAAGCGCUGUGUUUGAGAAAUACUUGCGGCCGGGCACUUCAUAUCGCGGGUCGAGAGUGGCUAGAAGCUGGUCGAAGCCAGGCUUUUCAACGGUAGUUAUUGGCAGUAUGUCCCUCGCUAUGAAGCAUCUUACUGCAUGGGUGAUGUCCUUAUGCCGCUCGAACGCUUUGUCGUAUUUUGGCAAGAAACGAAGUCCAGUUUGGUCUGCUUCACAUGCUUUGUGCUGGUACUGGCAGCGGUUCCAGAGGAUUCCUCCGACGACGACGUGGAGCCGCGGCGCGGCCGACACAGCUCGUACUCCUGCGGCUGCGAUCGGUUUAGAUGGUAAAACAAGUUGGUUGUGUUACCAGACUUGGUUUUUACUAAUUCUCUGCAAAUUUUGCAAACGACCGCUGUUCGCUUUUUGUCAGACUUCUAAAAACCAAAACAUUGCCAUGCUGGUGAACUACUGAAACCUUUUUUCGGGACAAUGUCCUCCGCUUCUCCUUGCUGUAUCAUUUUUUCUAAUACACGUGCUGUCUGUUGUGGUUUGAGAGGGGCUGGGCUUGGUGCCGUAGCGUACCUGGGUCUGCGUUUGUGAUUGGUUGGGAGGAAGUAAUGACUGUAGUAAAAGCUACAUGAUAGGCUAUGAUGAAAAAGAAAGGGAAACUGUGUUUUUCUAUCGAACUUUUUAUCGACCCGUUUUUUUUCUAUCGUACCACACGUCUAUCGAUCGAUAUAUAUUGUUAUCGAAUUAUCGUCCAGCACUAAGACAGUGUCAUGAUAAAUUGCACUCUUGAAUUGUUUGGCAUUUGUGGCAGAUGUGAAACAGGACAGCACAGGGAUGAUUGAAGAUGUGAUGAUGGUAAAGAUUGGUGCAAGACAUCAGCCUUAAACAUCCCCCUCAGCUGACACUCCUGAUAUCCCUGCUUUAUGUAACAACCCCAUGCAAUGGAAAUGCUUCUUUACAACAUGGUUACCUACAAGACUUCCCAUGUUAUAAUCUUACCUAUUGGUCCACAUUUUUUUAAUCUGGCUGUGUAAGUAGUCCUAAAUCUUUGGCCUUUGCAGAGCAGAUAAAACUUGAUGAAUGUUGGGGUGACUCCUUCGGCCUCGGCUGAUUAAUAACUGUUUAAUCAGGGUUUAGUCGCUAACAGCUGUGGACAUCCUUCUCCUCAUUUAUUUAGCACAGACACGUCAGUCAAUUUCUCCUUGCAUUUACCAGCUUUACAGCCCUUUUCUCUGCCCCUAUUUCUUUACAGUUGUAAAUUAUCCCUUAAAAUUCAUGUCACAGAAGACAGUGAAGGAGUCUGGACUGGCCUUAAGCCUCCUCACAAAUACCUGUACUAGCUGCGUUUACAUAGGCACAAAUAAUGGGAAUAAAUGCUCGAUUGGAAUAAAAAAGCGUCAUGUAAAUACGUUGAUCGAAAGUUUCUGAUCCAAUUUGGCUUGAUCGGAAAGAAAUUGUACUCUGAUUGAGAGGGGUGGUUUAGGCCGAUCGUUAUUCCGAAACGCGUCCAUGUAAACACUUAUUCCGAUUGUGACUCUCUUACCUGACUUGAUCUUCACUCUUUAGCCUUUGGCUUAUUUAUUGAGGCCAGUUCAGGAGGUUUCAUUAUUAACACUCCAGCAUAAAACACAACCGCAGGUUCCUAAUCUGCUCCUCCGAAAUAAGUAUGGAAGGGCGCCAUAUAUUGACAACAUUUAACAGGGGUAAAAGUCCUGGAUUGGAUGGAGUGACCCACUACCAUGUUUGUUGGUUUGCUGACAGCACAGGCGUAAAUACAACUCUUCCUCUGUGGUUGUUUUAGCGAAAUUAGACAAACUCUGCGCAUGUCCAAAUGCUACUAAUCUGAAUAAAACUUGGUGCAUGUGUACGCACAUCAUGAUUGGAUUAUUUGACUUUGCGCCCAUAAAAACAGUGGAUUCAGAUUAUCCAAUCCCUCAAAUUUUUAAUCGGGUCAACAGGUUUUGCACAUGUGAAAGGCUAAUGUGCCCACUUAUCCGUCAAUAUGGUCAUACUAAUAAUUAUGUAAAUUUAUGCAUAACUCUGGUCUGUAUGUGAUCAAAAUGGCUGCAUUAAAAGAAAGACAUAAACAUAUAGAGAAAUAAGAAACAGACCAAUACCUCUUUUUGUAUACGAGUGUAAACACGUUUGUUUCUGUUGCAGGAAUGAGCAAUUUGGAGUAAAAAAAAAAAAAAAGGAACUACUGGGAAUUCCUUUUCUUCCACAGCCAACCUUGAGUGAGCUUUCCAGGAACUGCAGUUCUUGCACUUCCAUGUUGACUUCACUUAGAGGUUGUGUUUGAAAACGUGUAUUCAUAUAUCAGGGCAAAUGAUAUAUGAAAAAAGGUUAGCACUCUUGUGGCUGUGAGUAAAGCAUGAAGGUGGAGACAGGAGUCUGCCAGCUUAGUCACAGACUUAGGGGAAAUGGUGAGCUUGCUUGUUCACGUCUUACUAAAGAAAACUCUUCAGUGUCAUUUAAGGUUCCUGUAAAUACAAGAAUAUGCAAAUACAAGCAAAAAAAAAAUAACUGAAAGUUCUGGGGUGCUUUUGGUUGAAAAGCACCUUUCAAUUUUAAAAUGUGUUUAUGCAAACCUGAAAGAAAGGCGAGGAUUUAUGGUAAAAUCUCUCUUCUUAACAAAAAUGGCACAAAAAAGAAAAAUGGAUCUUCUCAGUCACUCAGUCAUGUAAUACUGUCUUUUUCAUACUGAAGUCUUUAUCCAGCCACUGGGCCAUCUAAGUAUACCCACUUUUUCAUUUCCCUGAGGGAAUCUUCCCAAAAGGAUCAAUAAAGUUCUAUCUAAUCUAAUCUAAUCUAGACUGACAGAAGUCCAAAUGUCAGUGCGAAAACGUACCCACUUCUGACCUUGCUGUCAAUGUUUGGAGGUUACAUCAUACAGGUCUGAUGGGGACACUCGCAAUGUAGCAGUGACUCAAAACCUGUUCCAAGUCCACUGUUAGCUGGAGAAAACCUUGGACUUCUACCUCAAAAAAAAAAAAAAAAAAGGUGGGACAUCAAGGCAGGGCUCCAGACUAACUUUUCUUACUUAGAGCACAGUGGCCCCUAUCUUCAGGGGUGUAAGCAGAAAAUUAAGGAGCGCACACCGGAAACAACUUACAAUGUUUUUCUAUCAUAUAUACUGUGUUACUGAUAAAUACUUUGACAAUAAAUGCAGAAACUACAAGCUCAUAAACUCAUAUUUUAUUGUGCAUUGGUUUUGACAACAGAAACAAGUUAUACAGCUUACUAAUACAUCUCCCUGAAAUACCUCAGCCAAGUGAACUCGCGCAGCCACUUACCAUAAAAGUUGAAUUUCCUGGAUUUUUUCAACACCACCGUUUCCUCACAAUCUGAGUCGGACUCAUUCUCAAGAUUUGUCUCCUCAGAAAAAUUAUUUUUACUGGGAAGAAAAUCUGGAGUAAUAAUCCCUUUUGCUGCCGCUGUCCAUUGUUUACAAAGAAUACCAUUAUGUGAAAUCUGUGGAUUUGCGCAAUAACCCCAAAGAGCCGCCUCCUAGCCUAUCACAGUCGUCAAAAAUUGGCAAAAUUACUAUUUGCGCGUGCGCAAGUAGAUGAAAAAUUUACUCGCACUGUCUUGGAUUAUAGUCCAAAAAUGCAACUAUUUGGUCGCAGUCUGGAGCCCAGCAAGGGCUGUAAAGUCAAGCACUCUGCUUUUUAUUUAUUUAUUUUUUUUUUAUUGCAUGCUGCUAUCAGCUGUUUUGCUGUGUUUUUACUUAUUAAUAAGUGAAAUUUGCAGUAUGAAAUCACCAUCAUUGGCUGAUGUACAGUAUAUUCUGUACCCGUGCUUUGAAGUGUUCAUAAAACCCACAGACUGUAUUUGUGUUGCCUUGUUUACAGAACAGGAGGGACACAUACCUCACGUUAAAGGUGGAGUCAUUAGUUGAGAAGUAAAUCUUCUCCUCAAUUGUCUCUAAGUGUUAAAGUCCUGCUGUCACUGGUUUGUUUUAUCUGCCUCUUCAAUGUGACUGGCAAUGAAAACAAAGGGGAAUAGUGGCAUUCACACUGGUUUCCUCAUUAGCAGUGAAUAAACAGUCUUUAUCUUUAAAACAUUUGGCUUUUAUACACUCACAUCUGUGACUUUACAGCCAGCGUUUAACUAAAGGCCAUUACACAGUUUAGAUGGUGUUUAGCUGCACACUCAGGGGGCUUGUUGAGAGUAAAUGAUUGAAAAGUUUUUGCUUUAGUUAUGAAACGCUAUGGCUCAAGAUAUUAAUUAAACUCUACCAAUAUUUCCCAUUAUUAUCGGACUUGAUCUAAUUCACAAAGCAAAAUCGAUCAGAUCGAACAUGGCUGGGGGGUCUCUCUUUGAGGAGUUGUUCCUCACUUUAUCUUAUCCUGAUUUCUUCAUGCGUUAUUAUUCUCUUCAUCUGCAUUCAUAUCACAUCACCUGGAUGUUUGAGCAGCCUUAAAGUCAACUGAGGUUUUCCAGAAAAUUAACAUUUCUUUGCCCACAGCAUCUUAAAUUCCCCAGUAGUAGUUAGAAAUAAAGUUUUCGAUUGUCCGUGAUGGUCUGGAGAUUUUAGCCCUGAACCAGACAGCAAUUAUAUUUUUUGAAAAAGUCAAGGAAAGAAAAUAAAGUUGGUAAUCUCAACUACAGUCAGACUGGAAUAGACUUAGUCCCUGUUGCAGCUGUUGCUGCUUGUUGUAUGUGUGUGCAUCUUUUUUUUCCUUUGGCAAUCUGCAAUCUGCAGGGACGCUAGAGGAGCUAACUCUGAAAGGUUUUGCCCGAAGAUAAAUCGGGUAACCUUCUUCUGUCAUUAGUAAUACCUUUUCCACCAGUGAACAGUACGACAGAGCAGGCAGAGGGGGCUGACGGAGGGAAGAAGAAGCAGAGGGGGGUGCAGGGGAAGGGGAUGAGAGCCAGGAGUCAGCGGUAAUUAGCCAUGAAACAAAAGCCCACUCGGCUCAGUUAUGGCUCAGGUUUCACACCUUGAGCCAUCUCUCGCUGUCUCCAAGGCUCAGAGCUCAGUGAGGCUGCGGCUGCUUCUGCUGCUUCCACUGCUGUGAGGUGUCCAGCUGAAAUACAGGGCAGACCUGCAGUAGCCCCAUCCUGGCCCCCGUCUUCAAUCCAUCACACAGCCUCCAAACUUCUGUAUCAUUGUGGCCGACUGGCAGGGAGGUGCUUUGUCUGGCUGACUUGUUGUGUCUGUGUGGGGCACAUGAGUAUUGAUCUGACCGGAGUUAGGAGCAGCUCCACAGCCAAAACAAGAAAAGUUCUAUCUUUGCACUUUUUGCCAAGAGUUAGAGGGUUGGAUUGACACAUAAAAUAAUGUGGAGAAUUGACCUGAAUUAGACACUAAAAAUUGAUCAGCCAAAUCAAAGCAAGCUCAGAAUAUGCAUAUGAUCAAAUCUGCAGAUACCACUUUUCUGUGUGAUGCUGCAUGUCCAUUUGUGACUCUAUGAAAUGCUAGCAAGCCUUUGUUUGAGCUCAGAAGAGGGGACGUUUAGGCUCACUGGAUUUACCGAUCUUCUAACUGAGCAUGUCCUCCCAUAGCCAUGGAUUCUCAUCCUCCUUGCAGCUCAAACAAACACCUAAGUAAACAUUUCAAUUUACAGUCAAUUUAAAUCAUUAGCAUGCCACUUUAAUAAUCAUUGAACUGAGCAUUUCCACUCAAGGUCACAUUAGAAAAGGGAAACCUGUGGGAACAUUUAUAGCCUGCUUAUUUAUUAUUCACAUUAGAUUGAACAUUCAUAUUGAUGGUUACAUUAGACAGCGUGAACAGGUUCCUCUAAAAGGAUGUAAGCGUAGACUUUUAACCUCAUUAAGCUCUCCUUCUUCUCUGAGAUUUGCAGUUUAUUCCUCAAGAAUAAAUUAAGAAAAAGCCACAAAUGUUUUACAUUCGCACUUUAAUCACCACUAUGCUUUUAUUUUUCUUACUUUUUUCUUAGUAGUAUCUUAGAAAUGCACUCACCAGCAGUGCUGCCCUUGCCUGGAUUGUAGGAGAGACUGUUAUUCAAACAUCCAUAUUGUUUAGACUACCACAUUACCAUGCAAACAGAAACCUACAUUUUCACCGUAGUGUUUACCUUUGAUGCUAAUCAAAAUAUUUCUUUGUUGAUGGUGUCAACAAGCUAAGGUAAAAUGUGCUAGAACUACUUUCUACUGGUAGAUAUGAGUGAUCUGUUGACUGAGUCUAUUAUGGAAGCGACAAAAUGAGAGUUAGAUUAGAUUUAUAAGAGGGCUAUUAUGGAAAAUAACUGGUCUUCAGAUGAACUCUGCAGUGUAAAAAAGUAUUAAUGAUACCAUGCGAGCACAGAAGUAAUAUCCUCACUGCUCCCCAACUUAUUAGAAUCACUUGAACCAGUAUUUUAGUCUAAUGUUACAACAGGAAAUACUUACAAUAUCGUUCAUCACAAAUUGAGGUCUGAAUAGGGUUUUAAAAAAUACUGCUUUGCCACCAACGUUUUUAUUAAACCAAAACUUUAUAAUUUGGUUGGUUUAUGUGUUUUUAAACGAAUAAAAUCAGAAGUUUUAGGUGUCAAACAACUGCGCUUCGGGUAAAUCUGAUGGAUUGCUUUCAACUCCCAAAAAUUCCAAAGUAACCAAUGUGGAAAAGAACAAGGAAAUUCAAAGGAAACAAUGAGGUGGGCAGUGAUGCAGUUUAGCUGCCAUGCACCGUAUGGGCAAUGCAUAUCUGAACAUUACCAUCUCGAGGAAAGAGAUGUGUGGCUCCCCCAUUCCUCCAAACCUUGGUAGCUUACGACCCACAAUCCUUAGAACUGAGAAACCGAAAAGAAGCCCUCUGCAAUUUAUGUAUCAGAUGAAAAAGGUGAAACCAAGGUGUUUGCUGUUUCUUUUUUUCACUUAAAAGAAACUAAAACAACAAAGGGCCAUUAUCACAAAUUGGGAUGCAUUUGUGUUGAAAGUAGCCUCCCUCCUCGCCUAAUGAUAAUGAAUCAGUUCCUGUACCUUCGCUAGCAGUUCAGCUUUACUCCCAUUGUCCCAUGUGCAUCUAUUACAGUUUGCAUUUCCAGGUGUAACUGAGCAAGCAUUAUCACAGUUCAGAGGCUGAAAACACUGUUGAAGUGUUUUUGCUUCGCUUUUCAAAUUCUGAUCCGAGUGGGGAGGAUCAGCACGAGCAGCUCUUCCACCUCUAUGACUGCACUGUUUUAGGGAGAGGCCCGUGUUGACAAGCCCUUCAUUAGAGUCUUUGUCCUGAAAGAGCCCAGCACAUAAUUAAUGUCUCCAUGAUGGAUUACACGGGUGGGUUGCAAACAGAGAAGAGGUCUGCAGAAAACCAGAGAAUUGAUGCAAGGCUAUUUUCCCCAUCGAACACGCCUACUAUGUUCCCUCCUGCUCUGGCACCAAAAUUGCUGAUUAAAAAGUCACAAUAUUUACGGCAGUGGUGACUUUAGUACAGGUGCAAGUGUAAAUUAACCCCCUGUGCCUUUACCUUGCUGCUUUUUCUUCUUGUCUAUGUGGGGGGAAUGGGAGGCAGCUACAGCACCGACAAAUGAUCACCUUUAUUGUGAUUCUCACAGGUGGGGCUUUGGGUAGAUGUAAACCAUUAAUCAAAGCCAUCGUUAAUGAUGCAGAAAGCGCUGUGGAAAUUAAACCCCUUCUGUUCUCCUUGCCAUAAUGUUGAGGUGUUCAGUGUUCACCUGUUUAAAAAAAAUGAGGCUCUGUAUAGUAAGAUAUCUUGUACAAUGUCUUUGUUCUUAAUUUCAUUAUCACAGACUGGACUGUGUUUUUUUUUUUUUCUAAAUAUCACCUUCCCUUGUCUUCUUAACAAUUCACAGCUCUUUUACAUCACAUAUCACCUUUACCCAUUCUCACACUGAUGGCAGCUAUGCAAAGCACCCAUUAGUAUUGACUGAUUCCAUUCAUAUGCUACUGGACACACAGUUUUUCUUUAUCAUUAUAUAUUUUUUUUAGAUUUAUGUAGUGCUAAACAUUUUUUUAUUGUUUUGUUUAUGAAACCCGUCAUAAUAUUGUUACCCUGUUGGCUUGUUGAAGUGACUUUUCUCUACCAGCUCUGUGUUCAGUGGGUUGCUCAUUAAAAGAAAACACGUUUCCUAUUUUGGGUGCACUGAACUUCCAUUUUCGUUUCUGCUGUAUUUAGACGGGUAAAGAUAUCAUUCGAUUUUUCUUGUAUCAUGUCUUAGAUCAUAAUAAAGGAUAUAUGAUGACGUAACAUAUACAGUUUAUAAUAUAUCAUGAAGUAGGGCUGUCACUUUUUAUCCGAAAUCCAAACCUUCAUUGAACCCUUGGGAAAAAGAUCAUAUUCAAACUGUAAUGAGUCAUUCAAAUUCACAAUAACACAGUAUACCAGUGUUUUGAAGUAGCCUGCCUUGUGAUCCAGUAGAGAGUGCUCCCAUUGUAACCUGACCAAUCUAUUCACUGUUGACCUCAUUCAGUAAAUACAGUAAAGUCAUUCUUCAAAAAUGAGGACAUGGUCCAGCAAAGCUUAGGUCAGGGAAGCUGGAUGUGGAGGUAUUUUGGAAUCUCUACUGCAGAUUGAUAGUUAAAAUACAAAGAUAGGGCAGUAUGUUGACUUUGUGCUCAGCAGUAUUCAUCAGCAGCGGUGGAGAAGGCAUUACAGUAAAGUGGCGGAACAGCAAGAGUUUCACCAAAGUGAUGUCUUUUUUUGUGUGUGUGUGUCGAGCCCCAUGGCAGAGGCUCAGAAAAAAAUCCCAAUAUUGAUAGAAUCACAAAAUUUGAAUGUAUCCAAACAUUAGCACGUCACGUUCGAUAUUUGUUCGAAGUUGUUUUUUUUUUUUUUUUGAACUGACAGUCCUAUUGUAAAAUUAUUCUGGAAACAUGAAAACUUUAUAUUCUGAUCAACUAGAACAAAAUUUUUGACCCACCUACACUGCAAUCCUGCUGUUUUCUGAACUCCACUUUUAAAUUCUCAGGAAAUUGGAGUAUGUGGUGGAGUGCAAUGUAUAAUCAUCAGAAUCUGUCUCAAUGAUGCCCCCCGUGUCUUGAGCAGAGUUUCAAAGCCCAGCGAUAGUUAUUACCAUAUUUCACUUUCAGCAGACCUAGUAAGAGACGAAGAGAUGGAUAUGAGGCUAGCUUUAAGCACCUUCUUUGACAGUUAUUGUGUACCUGCCUCAUGCAGGUCAGCAAAUAGACGCAUCAGCUAUUCAGACCAAACUGACUUUGUAACCAGACUUUACCUUGAGAUUUGCUGUAAAUAAGGGCUCUUUAGAAUGGGUGUGUAUGUGGUUUACUUCGCUUUUGGAGCCAGCCUCAAAUGGUCACUCAUGGAACUGCAGUCUUUGGUGCAUCCUUUUUGCCUUAUUUCUCAAGACCAGAGGUUAGUGCUCUAUCUGUAUCUUGUUAUGACAACACUGCAUUGGUCAGUGGAUCUGGUCACUCUUCUCUCUGUGCAAUGAGUUUUCAACAAAUGUUGAAAGUGUUUUCACAGUUUUCUCUAUAACCUACCACUUAAACUUGUAGUUAAGUAUCUUAUUUGACUAUGCCAACUAGUGUCUUCAAGACAGAAUGUGUCAAAAACCUAGAUAGGAAUUUUGUUAUUUUUUAUCGGGACUUUCAUUGUUGUCGCCAGAAUGUCAAAACUUAUCGCGAUAAUUUUUUUUUGCCUAUAUCUCCCCUCCCUACUCUGAUGUUACUUUUGUAUUACUUGUUUAUUCUCCACCACUUGUAUAAUUUUGAGUAGCAAUGGAUCAUAGAUGUCUUCUAUCGAGUUGCUCAAGGAUUAAGUCGAAUGAUUUUAAUAUUUGACUUCCAGAGGGAGAGCCAAUGUGGACAUCAAUGUGCACAUUUUCCCUAAAACCUCCAGGCUAUGUUUUAAUAAAACAAACUAAAUCAUAACUAAUUGCAACAUAUAACUUGUUACAUGUGAGAUCAAGUGGGCUCAAGUGGACUGGCAUCUAACUGGAGUUACUCAGAACGUUUGAUCUUGGAGUUCUCGUUUAAUGUGUACUCGUGGGAGGCGAUGUGCAAAGUUCCUCUCUAUUUCCAGGGUUUUUGGAAAUAAAGUUUAAUUUGACCAGAGCUGCUUUACAAAAUCUGUAUGUCUUAAAGGUUGUAAGAACCCCAGUGUCCUUAGCUUUCCAUGCACAUCAUUCAGCUCCCCUACAGGUCUGGAGAACUCCCUUCAAAUACAUUCAUCUGUCUCGCCUGUGAUCUCAGUACAGUGGGUGAAGCGACUUGCUCAAUUAUACAUUUACUUAGACGAGUAAUAAAGCGCUGCCACUCUCUGCCAAAGCUGGGGCUGAUUACACCUUCUGUACAAGCUGUUUUCCCAGCCUCCUGUUCCUCCCCUUACAGUGAUCAAGACAUUCAUCCCAAAGAGAGGCACCUUACUGAAAUGACUGCAGCUCCCAGAACUGCAUCUGAACGCUGUCAGAGCCCCCUUUUGUGUUUCUUUUUUCAGUCUAAGGAGCAUGUUAUCCCCUCACACAUGGAGCUCUAAUCUCUGCAGUAAAUAAGCAUCCCGACAUCCUCACAUGAUGACACUAUCUGUCCUACCGCUGAGCAUGCUUCAUGUCUAAAGCUUUGAUAAGCUUUAUCAGGACUGUUUGCUUUAAAUUUUUAUGCCCUCUAGUACCAAGGUUACGAGAAAAAAAAAAAAAGCAGCUGGCAAUGAUUCUUUGAAUGAUAUGUUGGCAUUUUUGUUUUAUUUUACGGCUACGCAUGUUGAAAUACCUUCAAAAGAAAUGAUGCAACCUCGUCUUCAUGGAGAAAUAUAAAACUCCCUUUGUUGCAUGUUGUUCAUGUUUGCUCUCUGAUAAAAGCAUGUUAAAGCCAACAUGCAGCCAGCGUAUUUCAUGCUGAAGGGAUAGAUAGCACUGUUUUUUUAAUGUGAAGUAAAGGCGUGUAAAGUCGUGUCAAUAGAAGACAGGGCUCGAGAGUUCAACGGCGCUCUAUCACGAGCUUGCUGUAACAUCAGUGAGAAUUCUUUGAUUUUAUCCCAAUCGCUGUUUGUGGGCCUUUUAUUUUUCUCACUUGAAAAGGUUGCAGUCCCCCUGAGGUAAACCGUAUUUUUACAUGCUCAAACUGCAUGGAUAAAAAUUGAUAUAACUUCUACAUUUACUCAGUUGUCUUUCUUGCCAACCACCAUGAGCUAAAAGAUCCCCCCUGGGAAACUAUUUCCCCUGGCUUCAUGUGUGUGUGUGAGAGAGAGAGAGAGAGAGAGAGAGAGAGAGAGAACGCUGAUGGCGAGUUUCUGAUUGAAUUGACAGCUCAUGACUAGUGCUCAGCUGCUGCAUUUGGCAAGAGAGGAAGAGAUUCCAUCCUGAAUUUAACGCUCCACUAAUUGGACACACAUGCACAAGCGAGAGCAAGUAAAAGCGUAAAAGAGAGGGCUUCAUUUAAAAACAAUUAGCGAAGUUGAUGGUCUUAAAUUAACCUGUGUAAGAUUCAAGCCCUGCUUAUUUUUUCGUGCAAUCACACUCUCACUCAUUUUGACACUGAUAGCCAGUUAUUUCUCAGCAAUCUUAAGACUGUGAGUUAACAUUCACGAAUAGUAUUCACAUUUUCACAUUUAAUGUGGAGGUAUGAGUGGAAGAUAACAACUGCUCUACCAAUUAACACUGCAGUGCUUUUGGGUGUACAGCCAUUAUUUCAACAUACUGUGUCUUUGUGAAAACUGAUACCUGGAAACUCAUCUGCAUCCGCCAUUCAUUACAAAGAUAACAUCUGUCCAAGUGUUUUUUAUCAUCAGCUAUAAACCAUGAAAAAAAACUGUUCAAGCUGUUCAGACAGAGCUUCGUACUUCAACACACGGGAGUCUUUAGAGCUGUUAUCUUUUCCUUUCAUUUCACAGUUUUUUCUAUCUGAUUUGCAGUUUUAUAAUAUGAUCACUUUUGGGAUUGAAAAACAAAAUCAAAUGAGUCCAGCACGAGCAGGGAGAUUUUAUAUGUGGUCAAAUGGUCGUGUGCACUUAAACAUCAUCACUCAAUACAAGUCUUUUCCUGGCCUCUGGUUGCCAAGGAAACCUUUCAGCUGUGUGUGUGUGUGUGUGUAUGUGGGAUGUUGAAUGCAUAUGUCUGUUUGUUCUUCAAAAUAAUUACACUCAUACAGCUGGCAUCAUCUGUGUGGGAGGGAUUUUGUGUUUUUUUUGUCCCAUGGAUGUAUGGCUAUCACUUCUGUAGUCGUGCACCUGCUACCCAAUACUGAGAGAGGAUGUGUGUGUGCUGUGAGUGAGUGUGUGAGCAGAGGUGAGGGUGUCAGACAGCAGACUGGAUAUGAGCACUGACUUUCAUCAUCCUGAAAUUAUUAAAAAUAUUUCUGCAUAUAUAAGAGGACUUCACUUUACAUCAAGUUUUUUUUUUUUUUUUUUCCAUAGAAGCCAUUUUUCUAAAGUUAAAAUGAUAAAAUAAAGUGGUUUCUGGGUUUUGCUUCAUCAUGCCAUAUUUUACAGUAUACUCCAGUUUAUAUAUUCAAGGAGCUGUCCAAGAUAAAUCCCAUAUUGUGCUUUCUUAUUAUUCUCCCACCCACUAGUCCAACAAAAACCUCAUACUGUACAAAAUGAAAGUAUUCUUCCUCCAGUGGUCCCUAUUAACUCCAAACCUCUGCUUUGUUGCUGUAACAAAGGGCAUUUCAAUGUUUUGAACUUGUUUCUGCAUAUUAAAAACUUUGACUAAGACCAUUGAUGAACUUGAAAUUAACACUUCAAAGAAAAAGGAUUAGAGAGAGCACUGGCAGGGUAUAUUUAAUCACGCUUUAUUGUUAGGUCUUAGUCUGGAGGGGAUCAUGCAUUUGAUUGUGCGCACAUAUCUGUCUGUCUGCCGCUUAUCUCAUAUAUACUGAGCCCAUCAGAAAUAAAAUCUAAGAAAAAACAUUCUUUAUGGCCGGCUGUGUGUUUUACCAACAUUGACUGCUGACCCCUCAGUCUUCAAAAAGAGCAGCAAGUAAUCAAGACUGCUUGUGUUUGAGGUUUUGUCUCUCUGCUAAGGAAGCAUAAUCCCAUGAAAGAAUGGGAAUGGGAACCCAGUUCUAUUUAUUCAGUUUUUGCUUUUUCAGAACCUGAAUAUCAAUAACAUUUGGGCUUAUUGAAUCCUGUGGGUCCUCUGUGUGGCUAAGCUGGCUUCACAUCAGUGUCUUGUCCCACCCUUUUUCGGAUUCAGUUGGGCCUAAUCACCUGCUAACUUAACAUCAUCCCUCUUUUUAACCAGCCUACCAAAUUAAGAUAUAAACAAGUCCACACAGAAUUUGGAUAAAACUUUGUUCUCUUUUCUUUUUUUAUCAUUUAAGAAUUAUUUGCAUAACCCCUUAAUGCCUUUUGUAUCAUAUUUAAUACAUACUUUUAUAUACUUCUUUUAAAUCAAGAUAUGAUCAACAUAUUACUAAAAAACACCUGAAAACAGUCCGAUAAAUUAUAGAAAUGUCCUCUUUUAGUUUAUUAGUUUCUAAAAACAUCUAAUGUAUCAAAUGAGAUAAAUAAAUAAAAUUGUAAAAUUUUAAGGACAUUUUAAUUUUUUGGGUUUUUAGUAGUAACAGAAAUAAACAUUUUAGCUCCAAAGAAAAUUGAAUUUUCUGGCCAUAAUUUGUGGUGUCGGGCAUUAAAGGGUUAAAAAAUUAAACAGUCCCUCUCAUUCCACGAUAGGCAAGGUUUCCAUGGCAAUGGUUUUUUACCUGCCUGUUGUGGGUCAAUUCAACACUUGAGUGAACAUUCCAGUUCACAUUUAAGUCAUGGUCAAAUAUUAGCCUGCAAGCUAGUUCACUUUAUUUUAACAUUUCCAUCAACGGUGAAACGGGGGAAGGUGAAGAGGUGUCCUCAAAGAAGAUAAACAUUGACUUUUGUCCUCAUGAAGUUCUCCAUCUCCUCAGAGCUUUGCAGUUUUUGCAGUUAAAAUAGCUUUUAACACAAAUGAAGCAAAUGUCACAACUUUGAACACUUCUGUGGUCAUCACUACCUUUAAUGGUUGAAGCGUCUUUGUAGCAGUCAGGAUCUUAGAGAUGUGCUCACCAGCUCUGCAGCUGUUAACCUGCAGGGCUGAACAGGAUCCAUUCUUAGAAUUGACCUCUGAGACAGUCAACCUUCUACGCCUCCACUCAAAGCAGCAGUGAUAUUUACCCAAGCUUUGUAUCGGCAGGUUAAAAGCUAGCUAGCUUAGCAAAUAAGGUAAUGUCACAUGUAACACAUGAGGUCACAUUAUAGUGUGUUCAAGGUUAGGCAGAAAAUGUCUUUUAGGCUGAGGUGAAGAAAUCGUCCUUCCUUUUCGUUGUUAUUACAUUGGUGAAGUUCUGUGACAAAUAUAUGAUCCUACCUCCACCAAAAUUAAAAAUACCACACUGCAGUGCAGUCCUUCAAGGAUGAAGGAGGCUCCAUAAUGGCAUCAAUAUCAAUAAAACCUAACAGCCCCCAUCCCUCACUCUGUUCCAGGCCUUCUGUAGGUCCAACAGCCUCAAACUCCCAUCAGUUCAGAGCUUUUGGGCAAGUUUGAGUUAAAAUCACAGAUGUAAUUGUAUGCUCACCCAACAUUGUGAAGAUUAGGAACCAUUUCUGGAUUUUCUGGUGGGUUUGGCAUGCAGAGGAAGUUGUAUUUUUGCACAACCCUAAGAGACACUCCAAUAUUAUCUCUUGUGGACACUUUAGAGCUUUUUAGUCAGCAUGAGAGGGUUGUGUACUCCCCAAUUCUAAGUAGGAAAUUAAGUUUAUUUAUGCCAGUUAUUAUACAAAACUUGCAUAAAAAUAUUGCAAAAGAUAAUGUGAACAACUGGCUUGGCAAAAGAAAAGCAAAAUAUCUUCAUGCACCAGUUGGAGCUGUUAUUGGGCAAAAAAGAAUAAUGUGGGAAUAAAUAAAAAUCACAGAAAUAUUCAGUCUUGUUUAGCUGUAAGACAGCUGCACAUUUAUUAAAGACUGAUGUGUUAUAAAAUCCUCUAAAGGCAUGACCUCAUAAUAUUACAUCCACUUUUUGUAAUCUCCUCCAACAUUUUGACUAAAAGGGGGCCACAAGGUAACAUAGAGUAAGAUUAUAUUUGUUUAUACUAAAUUAUUUAUUCAUUAUUGUUAUUUACAUUAGUAUUACUUUAGUUAAAUGUUGGGUAGCAUCAUCUUUCUUUAUGGGGAAAUUAAACACGCUUAAUUUCUGAGGUUCCAGUCCCUAAAGAGCGGGUUCAGUCAAAACUAAGUCAUAAGUCUGCAGGUUUCCACUGAUUUGUAUAAGGCCUUACUUCAACAGGUAUGGCUUAUCCCUUGUGCAUUUUACAGUUCUAGUUGUCUUGCAAAUUCAGAGGAACUACAUGGGUGACACAAACAAAGUUGACGGCGUGGAAAGAUUAGCCGCUGAAACAAUAAGUUGACACCCAGGGGAAAUGUACUUUACAUUAAUUUUGUGACUGCAGAGCUCCAGGACUUGGCCACACUUCAGACACCAAACCAUUCUUCUUUAUCUUCUCUGUUCACACAAGGUGAUGCUGACGUGCGUGGCCAAUCGGAUCAAGCGGAUGCACUGAUUUUGACUGGAGGGAAGAGUUACAGUUACUCAUGCAGAUGGACUGAUGCCAUACUGAGCUGGCUGGUGGAGGUAGGAUAUGAGUCUCUGUCAGCAGCAGCAGCAGGAAGAGGGGGAGUCAGGGCUAAUGAGGAGAGACAUUUCUGCUUUACUUUCUCCUCCUCUCAGUCACAUAUCAAAGCAGUAAGACCCUGUGCUCAAUUCACGCUUAACUUCUAGUUCGCACACUGCAUGUACACUUAAGCUCACACACUCAUCGCAACAUGAUGGCUGCUAUUAGAUGAACUGUCAUCCUCGGUAUGAGGGUGUAUAUGCCAGAUUUUCAGUCUAAGAACCCUCGGCUUCUAUACUGUGCUGGGUCUAUGAAUAGGUCCUUUUAAACUGACUGAAUAAGACUUGUAAUUAACACUUAAACCUUCAUUAAAUAGGCAACAUGUAGUUACCACAGCAACAGUAAAGGUUUCCCCUUUACAAUGACAACCACCUUUCAUAAGGUGGUUUAAUGAGUCAAGUCCUCUGAAUGUAAAGCUGCAGCAGUGUGUGAAAUGUUUGUAUUGAUAGAAGAAGACAAACUUUAUUCAUCCCUCUGGGGGGAGAAUUCAAUACUUUACAAUUUGUCCCUGCUCAUGUUAAACACACAUAAACUGAAAACACAAAUACAUACAUGACCAAGGGAUCAGUAUCUCCUCAGUACCGCUUCUUACUUUGGCCUUGGUGACCCAUAGAUUCCCGGGUCAUAUCCUGAAUCACUGCUGCCCCCGUGACACACCUAAGAUAUUGUAUAGCUUGAUGUAAAUAAAUAUUAAAUAGUGAUUUUAUUCAAGAUAACAAUCUCAAUAAUCUACUGUCUACUGAAAAACAUUGAUUUACUAUAGAGAAUUGAUUAGAUAUUGCCGACAUCACUCCUACACCUUGCUACUUUGUUAGUACCUUAGCACCCACUGUUGUUGAGAUCAUGUGAGCUCUGCAUGCUUGAUCUGGGCCCUGCAAGAUAGAGUCUGGAAUGGAUUGCUUGUAUCAGAGUUCUGUUAAUAAGAUUUUAGAUGCAGGCCGAUAUAUUCCGAUAUUCGUUUUUUUGCUGAUAUUGGAAUGAUAUCAAUAUCGGAUUGGGACAUCCCAACCAGAAAUAGCGCAUUCCCGUAGACUUGAUUUUAGCAGUCAUGAACCUUAUUCUAUUUUUGAUCACAUUCAUAAUAUGAUUUUUCCAUGCACAAAUUAAAGAACCAGAUGCAGGGACACUCAAGUAAAAUCAUUCGCUUACAGAAAACUCUGCUCAAACCUCAAACUAAACAUCCACUUUUCCUGCAGAUGUGUUGACCGUAUUCAGAAUUGGUUUAUUGGGAUUACUGAGAUAAAAAUAGUGUGCACAUUAGAGCAGUAUGUGUUUCUUUUGCUUUUCUGUGUGGGCGGCAGUAGCUCAGGAGGUAGAGCGGUCGUCCAAUAACUGGAAGGGUGGCCUUUGGGCAAGACAUUUAACCCACCUUGAUCCAAGUGAGUGUCCUCUGCUGGUGUAUGAUUGUGAGUGUUGUUGUGGUGUUGGUUUGGAGAGGUCGUAGGCGCAAAUUGGCAACCGUGUUACCGUUAGUUUGCCCCAGGGAAGCUGUGACUACUAAGGUAGUUAACCACCACCAGGCUGUGACUGUGAGAGUAAAUGAAUAAUGUAUCCAAUGUAAAGCUCUUUGAGAUCACUGAUGAAAAAGCACAAUAAAAUCUGACGCACUAUCAUCAUUAUUGUUAUGCUGUGUGCAUAGUUAGAAAAUGUAUUUCCACUGGAAACAAUGAGAAAACAAAUUUCCAGAUAGAGAUGAAAUUAUGUUAAAUACUAAUAUAUGUAAGUGUUCCUGUCAACCGUGUUCUUUUUAAAGCAGCAACUCAGAAAUCUUAAGGAUUAUAACUCCAACUAGAAUAUUUGACAUGAUCUCUGCAGACAGCUCAUGUAACAAGAGCUGCAACUGAUUAUUUCUUCAACAGUCCACAUAUUUGUCAGCUUUUGUUUCUUAUUUGAUAUCCCAACAAGAAUUCAGCCAAAGAGCUCAUCACACUUUCUCUAAACUGAACAAGACAGUGUCUUCAUUUAUUUAUUUACGGCUCAAACUAAUGUUCAGCUAAUAAGGAUAUUUAAAAUACGAUGAAACUUUAAUUCACUUCGCACAGAAGAACCCUCCAGCCAUGAUGCCUGAGAUAAAACUAAACUGAAAGGGAGUCUGGGGACAAAAAACAAUAUGCACAUUCCCACAAAGAGGUUUAUGGCACUCACAUGCUGUUGUUUUGUCCCAUACUCCUCUCUCCCCCGUGUGGCGUCCUGUCAGAGCCAGUCCAAUGACAUUUCCAGGUAGCUGAACUCUGGGACCUUAAAGUGUCACCCUCUGUUGUCAUUUCUGACUGCUACAGCCCAGACAAUGAUAAACACACACUGUGGGGGAAAAUGAUACACAGGCAACCUCAAGGUCUCCGUGCCACAGAGUGUUUUUUUUUUUUUUUUUCCCCCCACUGCUCCAUCAAACAAACUUUAGGUAGCACAUGAUUCCCUCUUUUCUAUGAUGAAAACGAUACCUGAGCAUGUAAGGAAGUAAUAUGUAUUCAAGACUUGACAGUAAGUCAGACAAAAGUUAGCCGCGUGAUUGCCGUUCACAGAGGCUGAUGCAAAAAUGAAACAAAAGUGCAAUACUUACUUCCUUUCAAAACAUAAUUUCCUUUUGCGUGUUCUUUCAACAAAUCAAGAAGCACCGAGCCUUGAAAAAAGAAAAAUCUGCACUGCUAUCUCUUCAUACUUUAUCAUAUAACACUUUGCAAGCCCCUUCCUGGACUGUUUAAUUGCCCCUGACAAAAUCAAAUAGGCUCGGUCCCUGAGAGAGUGUAUAACCACACACAUCUUAUCCAUAAAUCAGGUAAGGAGGGCCGAUGCAAGGUGGUGGUGGCAGUUAUAUAGGAACCUCAGCUGAAUCGCAUGCCUGGUGCAAGGAAAUGGACCUGUCGGACGGGCCGUGAAAUAGUGCAGCAGGGAUGUCACUCACAGCUGUGCUUUUUUAUUUCAUUGCUAUUCUGUGCAUGUGUGUGGUGCACAUAACAGGCAACAGGUGCAGCCGAGCUAAUUAAUGAGAUGCGCUUUUAAGGUUUAAGUACGGUCAAGAAAUCACACACACCUGCUUCACCUAACUGAGAACUAUUUAUCUAAAACACAACCUUCGGACUAUUCAUGUUGAUAAAACACGUCUGCUACUGCAUUACCCCUAACAGGAUCUGCAUGGACCUGUUUUUAUUUUCUAUUUUUCCCGAAAUGAUUGUGUUUCUGUGGAAAAAAAAAAGUUACACAUUCUUUAAUUGACCUGCAAAUCACAUUUAAGGAAGCACAUUAUCUGAACUCAUCUGCAAUUAUUGUCUUCACUCUCUAAUGACAUAGUAGUAGAGUGCCUCUGGGACAGAUUCCAUCUUCUUGGUAAUUACUGUGAAGCCAGCUGUUAUGGUAGCCAACUUCAGCCAAAACUUACUUUUCUGCACGCUCUACAAUCCAAUAAAAGCGACAGUCUCACCCACUUCAUAUUUGCAACAUGAAUGCGUUCAUUUAUUGAUUUAGUGCAUCCUCCAAAGUGUUACCUUACAGGUUUCAGAUCAACAGUAGAUAGUAAAUGACAUUGAGGCUUCAUUCUGGCUAUUUGAAAAAGAAAAAUGUUUUCUUGUCACUUUCCUAUCAUAAACAGGCCAUACAUUUGCUGGAAUAACCUAAGAUGCAGAUUAUUAACAAACAAAAAGGCAGGGUUUUUACUCUUUUGGUAAAUGGAUGUUGAAACAGUGAUUUAUUUUUCAUUUAAGAACAUCAGGAAACUAAACACUGCCUAUAUUGGCUGUUUUUUUUCUACACCUAUGCCUGCUGGUCUAUUAUUGUUUACUACUGCUCAGGCUACUGGUGUACCACAAACCGGAAUCUGAAUGCUUGUCAUUUUUAGACCCCCGGAUCUUCAUAUCAUUUUUAUUUAGACUCUGUAUUUGUAUUCAGUAUUUUGUAAAAAGCAGUGUUUGAUAGUCGACUCCAGUUAACUUCCUAAAUCAGAGUCGAGUUAAACUCCAGAAUAAAUAAAUAUUUUAACCGAACAAAUGAGGAAGCUUGUAGGAAGUUUUGGCCUUUAACAAUGGUUCAAGUCAAUUUAAGGACCUGUUUCUGAGCCCUCGAUCUGCUCUGUGAGUAGAAGGUUCGGUUUGGCUGCCUUUAACCAUGUUCCCCUUGAUUGAUGUGAGAUUGGCUAUAACCUCAUAUCAGGGCUUUGCAAAGUUCUCGGCUGCAUUAAGUCCUGGUCCUAAUUGAAGCCUCCCAGAGGCUAACUGGCUCGAUUGCUCCGACAUGUCAAAAAGCAUCAGUCAGUUAAAUGGGGCCGGGAGAUGGAGAGCCGUUAUUGCUGCUGCUGCUGCCUGCAGGCUGUGACCUUGCGGUGAGACAGUGCUUUAAGUGUCUCCUUUACACUCGUUGCUUCUCUGGAACAUCCAAGUUCUAUUCUUGAUAACAUGUUCAUGAUGCAUGUAGGUUAUGUACCUUCUACUGCACAAUGUGGGCAUAUAUAAUUGCGCACAUAGAUAUCCGAAGCCCAAGGCAACAAGGGUGAAAUGAAUGGCAGUUGUUCUGAGUUGCUGGUGAUCUUUCGGCAAAUCUGCUCCUCAGUUUAUCCUGGGGUGCUGUGGAAGGACAAUUACAUCGCUGGAUCUGCCAGGAGAUAGGGCCAGAACAUACAGUACUGAAUGACUACAGGAUGUUGCCAUAGUAACCCAGUGAUGACAAGGUGUGAUAACCAACUUGCAGUUAGUGUUCACUAAAGAUAUUUAAUAAGUUUACAGUCGAGCAUCUAACAGCAUCUAACAAAUAUUAGAUGAUAUCACAACAGUGCAAUUUUAUGACAUGAAGCCUUUUAAGAAGCACACUGCAAUAUUCAGUUUCACUUUGGCCAUCUAGUAAUUUGGACAAGCAGAAGUUACAUAUUAGGAGGAUGUGGGGCUUUUCCUGCCUUUGAGCUCUCACACCCGCACGGUGCACUUCCUCUUCUCUGCUGCUUUUAAGUGCCAGAAAGCUGAAAAAACUGCUGGAUUAAAGAAAGAGCUACAGUGAUCUUUCAGCACUGAGGGUGAAGAGGUAGUCAGGGUGCAGACUCACAAGAAGAGAAGCCAUCCACAACUAGAAACUAUCGAAGCUGAUCAAAAAAAACUAGCAAGUCACUAGUAAAUCAGCUGUACCCUGUGUUCUGUUUUCAGCUCUUGUGUGCACAAGAGGCAGUGCAGAGAUGGAGGAGGCAAGCAGAAUAAACAAACCGGUUUAGAAAAAAAAAAAAAAAAAAAGGCUGACUGCUGCAGCCUGAAGGCAGUACCAGGGCGGAGGGCACAGACAAAACUGAAAUCUGUCUUACAUAAAACCACCCAUCCCCUCUAUGGGGAGCUGAUGUCACCAUAAGAGCCUCUGGCCUUAACCCCAAAGGUGCAACAUCAAGUGCUUUAGGCGCUUUGUUGCACCAACAACCUUUGGAUUGCACACUUCCUGUUGUGUGAAUUGCCACACUCACAGGUAGCAACAAAGGUGUUGAAGCUGAGUGUCUCUGCCAACUGGAAAGCUGACAGAGUACUCCACACUCUGCAAUGGUUUGCAUUGAUGCAAAAGCUUAAAUGUAACAUUUAUAAUUCUAACAUUAAUCUCUGGUUAUUAUUUGCAUUGUUGUAGUUUUUGAAGAUAGUAUAAGAUAGUGUAAAUGUUGCUGUCGGAACUUAUGGGGGGGGGGGGGUCAUUUCACGGUUUGAGAGAUAUGGGUUUCGACCUUGUCAUGUUGAUUUCCUCCCAUAUUUGUGGUGCUGUCUUUUGCCGAUCUCUCUUACUGGUGACAAUGCUUUGUUGAUCCUCUGCUUUUGUAGUAACUCUCUUUCGUCCAGGUCUUUUUUAUCAUCAUAACUUCCAGGUUUCUCUAGUCUCUUCAGAGUGUAGUGGACUCCUUUGUUAAACACCUUGAAGUGUUUUGCAAUUUCUCUUUCUGUGUAUCCUUCUUUCCUCAAUGUACAAAUCUGUGCUUUUGUUUCUUUACUCAGUUGCUUCUUUCUAGCCAUUUUUGCGGUAUUUUGAACGCAGUUGGAUUCAUUAGGAUUUUCGUACGCAGGCUCUCAAAAGCCAAAAAGUUGAAGUGAAUAAUCCAACUGUGAUUUGUUUUUUUGCUCUUGCACUGAAGUUGUGACUCUUGCAAAUGUUUUCAACCCUAAAACUAAGCCCUUAUUAUCUUUUGCUGACAUAUAUUUAGCAAUAGUCUGUUAACAUCAAUGUUUAUCUAAAGGUAAAUGGAGUAAAAUGGUGCAUUUCCAUAAAAGCAACAUCUGAUCAUGGAGUAAAUACAUCCAGAAACACAUAAAACUCAUGCUGGUUUUAAAAAAAAAGCAUUGUGAACAAAAACUUGAAGUUACUCCCAACUGUUCGGCCUGUAAUGGCCUUGCUUCCAAACUUUUGGCCUGUAGUGUGUGUUUCCUCUAUUCCAGGAAAAAAAGGAAGAAUGCUGUUGCUCCUCUAUUGCGUGAAUAUAGAAAAGUCAAUUACAUGAACCAGCGCGCGCACACAGCGCUCAGUUCCCAGACACCUAAUAACAGUUAUUGCCCUAUGCCUAUUCAUAUACUGUUCUGUGGAACAAAAAACGCUUGACACCAUAAUAAUAAACCUUCUCCUGGAGCUGUGCAGUGAUAGACAGCUAUGCAGGCAGUCACUUAGAGAAACUCUGAACCUUCUGAGCCUGACUGAAUUUAUUUGUGCUGUUUCAAAUUCAGAUGAACAAAAGAAUCAUGUGUACCAAAAUGUGAGGACACGGCCACAGCAGCCGCUAUUUGCAUGGAGACUUUCUAUCCUAAGUGUGCCUUGAAUGUUAGUCCUGCAGCAGGUCCUCAAAGAAGGGCUUAGUUUUUUAAGAUACCCCUAGCCGAGUUAGAACCAACCACAACCACUUUUUUAUUCAUAUCUUUAGGGUCUUUCAUGAAUUAGAUAGAUUGUUGUGAAAUUUUAUUUUGGGGAAAAAUGUGUUUUUUUUUUGGCUAUCCUUUACAUCUACCCCAAUCUCUGAAAAGGGAAAAUCCGAAUGGGGCAAACGUGUCAAAAUAAAAACCUAUAACUUGACAAUGCUCACUGUUUUCUUAAUCAAAUUUGCAAAGGUAUGAACUUGGUGUGUACCCUACAUCACCAAAAAGUCAGAAUGUAACUUACCUAAAUAAAUACUGAAAUAUAGUCCUUUAAACAUACUUUUAGUUUAUGCGGAAAUUGUACUUUUAUGGUGAGGAUUCCUCUACUUCCCCUGAUUUCCAAAAAAAAAAGUAUACAUUUAUGUUAAAUUCUGAGGGCCUCUGCUGCUAAACUUUAAGAGGAUCUUCACUUUUCAAAUGGCUUUAUGUAUUUCUUUCAGCCUGGAUUCAUCUGUGAGGAGUAUAUAUUUACUUACAGCUGACUGCCAUUUAUCACAUUUGGCAUCGCCAGUUGACUCCCAUCAGUCUGUAGAGAGGAGUCACUUCACUGACCAAAGUAUGAUAAUUAAAAAGAUGCCUUUUUCUCAAAUAGCCUACAACCUGAUUAUUUACCAAAGUGAUUAUUCAGGUAGUUCUGUGUUCCCUGAAACAAACUUAAAAACCAAUGACUCAGCUAGAUUUGUCUGUGGAAAUCUGUAAUUCAGUUCACCUGACAUCAGCUCGACACAGACAGGAUUUCAGUGUUAAAUGACCUAAUUUCUGUGUUUUGAUUUCAUCAGCAGAUUAAAUGUCACAGCUGGCAGAGACCCUCAGUGUGCUGUAAACCCACUUAUAAAAAUAAUACAAGGUAAAUAUUGGGGUUAAAAUAAAAGGAGAAAAUAAAUAAAUAAAUAAAUAAAUAAAAAGCAUUAAUAAAAAUCAACAACUUUAGAUUAAAAGGUGUGAGAGGAUUUUACUUCUAAAAGACUAUAAUCAGUGGUGGGAUAAAAAUCUCAAGGUUCAAUUUUGUUGUUUAGUGUUUCACUGAACUUUCAGGUAAUGUUGACUCUUAGCGCUACACCCUCUUAUGAAAGUAAUACAAGGUAAAUAUUAGGGCUAAAGCCAUGUACAGAUUCAUUAUUCCACACACAUUAAUAUCUAAUAUACAUGGUCGUCUUAGACAAAAAUGUUUUAGGGAGGAUUUGUAAUGAACCAAUGAAAAGACAUAGAUAUUGGGUUAUGGUUUUGAUUGACAGAUAGUGAAUUAAAUCAACUUAAACCAAGCUGUAAGUCUAUUAGCUCUGCAAACUGAGCAUUAGCAUAUAGCUCAUAGCAUUAUGGAUGGAGCCAGAGUCUUUUUGAGUAACUGGUAUACACUUAAAGCUGUCACAUAGUCUUUGCUACAGACUUAAGUAAACUUUUAAGAUGAACUGAAUCAAAUCACUUUACUCCAGGCUUGUUUAAAUGUGCCGCCUCUCUUUGCAAAACCCGAGCCUCACAGUAGAGAUCUGAAUGACAGUAUCUGGGAGAUGAUGGCAGGGCUGUAUUAAUAUAUGCCACACAUUUUAAUUGAAGUAAUUAACAUGGCGGCAACACUGUUUAACACAUGUGAUAUCGUCCUCUAAGCAUCUGCUCAUAAUCCAUUGAUUGCCAAAUGUUUUGAGUCAUUGAAAUAGUUCUCAGCAGACAUUCUCAUAAAUCUCUCUUGAAAAUAUUCUGACAUUGUUUGUCUUUCUUAUCGUACUCCUACCAAUGUCUCAUCUAAUCUUUGGUUUUUGCUGUUUAUCCACUUUGUUACACUGAUAUGAAUACGAUUUGAAUUUUGGUGUGACUGGCAGAAUUUCUCAGGAUCACAUCCUCCGCUCUGUGAUUGAUGUUGAAAAAUUAGAGAUUCAUAGUGUUUUCCCAGUCAGCCAUUGGACCAGAAUGGUAGAUAGAGACGCUUACAGGGCCUUUACUAACAAAGCGCUGUUUGCUUAGAUCCGGCUAUCGACAUGGAUCAUAAAUCAUUCUCUAAUAUUUUUAUGCAUCCAGUCCAUCCAACCCAUCCUAAUGUUUCCUCACUCUGCUUCCUUUGUAACUCAUUUGAGUGGAGUGGUGACGCGUGACGAUGUGUGCGUAAUAGAGGGAUUUCUGGAAUCGGCUUGGUGGAGUCAUGGGCGUUGUUUAGAUUGGCUUAAAAGUGCAACUCCCGUGACCCUGCAGCAGUGUGAGGUAUCAUGAUUAAAAAUGAAGGCCAGCUGAAGACAGACAGACCCCCCACCCCCCUUUCACAAAGAGGCCCCUAAAUUCAUUCUUGUUUUUAACCAGCUUAAAUAUACUAAAUUGUAAAAGCUAUCAGGUUGCAUUGAACAACAUGUCCCUCAAACAGUACUUUUUCUGUUUCUUGCACAUUUGUACAAUCGAAUUAGACAAAAGAGAAGCCAAACAAUCUGUCUUUAAAAAUGUAAAUCUUUAACAGUAUCUGUCACCCAGGCCGAUCACGUCAUCUUUGACCCGGCCCCUUACUACCUCCCUCCCCAGCUAAGCAAGUUGUGCUGGUGUUGCCCUUAUUGCCUUCAUGUCCUGACCUUCGCUGCCUUAGCUUGUCACACUCUUAUCAAAUGCUAUCUGAUGGCACCGCAGGACCCAAAAGCAAGCAAACACGCUGAUAGGAUCUGUCUGACUGGUUAAGGAGAUGCCACUCCCCUCUUGCUUUUUGUUUUCUUUCCCCUCCUCUCUAUUAACAUCCAGCACAGCUUAAGGGAAAUGUAAAUCUCUGAUCUGUUUCUUUAAUGUCCUCUCAUCUGGAAAAAUCACUUCAAAUGCGGAUUUGUGUCUGUCUUUUUUCACCAUCCCACUUUCACAGAUGUAACCCCCUCUCCAUGGAGGAAGUCCCUGUGGCAGAAUGCUAGCAGCUAGCUGCUCUUGCUGGCUGAUUAUCAGAUAUGGAAGUGCACUGUUUUUCUGUGUUCAGCCAGUGCCAAGGAGAAUACUGCUAUAGGCAACAACUGCCUAUACUGGAAAGAAAAAAAAAGCACACUUUCAUACUAGAUCCUGUUUUUUAUGUAGUAUGGGGUAUAAAGCUUUCAACCAUUAGGCCCCUCUCAUGUUCAUGAUAAAGAACAUGUUUUGAUUGCAAUAAGAGCUCAAUAUUGACUCUGUGUUCUACAUUCAGCUCAAACUGCAAUCUUCUUGAAAAAAAAACCAUCCUAUAUCCAUCAACCGUCUGCCUCAAGAAGUCUAUAUCAUGCUUUCCACUCUAUCAUCUCCCUCUUAUUCAUGGAAGUACUCCAAAUUGUCUCUAAGUACACUGUUUUUUUGAAAGCUGAAGAACAGAAAAAGAACAUAGCAGAAACUGAGUAUGCGUCAUGCAAAAAUAGGAAAGCCAUAGCAACAGCAUCUGAAGAAGGACCGGGGCUUAGAGGUUGUUAAUUUGUGGUUUUCUGGAGUUGAUCUACUCUACAUAAUAUAUGCCCAAGAGCAGUUAUCAACAUUUGCACUUUGUUAACACAAUAAAUUCGGUACUUGUUAACAAAUAUUUUCUCGUUUAUGCAUCCCCAUACAAUAAAAUAAUACCGACCAAAGGUUACGCAGUUGUUUCAGUCUUUCAAUGUAAACACUGCAGUAAAUUAAACCCAAUGGGAAUGUGGAAAGCAUGAAGAAAUCUAACAACUGACAAAGCUUGUAAACAUUAAAGAGAGUGAAUGCAAUGAAGUACAAGAGCAUCACAUUUUUGCACUUGGCAAAGAGCAGAUUUAUCAUCUGCUGAAUUAAUAGGUACUAACCAACGAGAAGUCUUAUGACAGAUCCCCAUUCAGCUUCAGAAAAGGUCACCAUGUGAUGAGCUUUUUAGUGGAUCAACCUUUCUACAUGUACAAAAUGCUGUCUUGUAUUUAUCUACAGUAUAUCCGUAAUAAAGGAGCAAAAUAAGUUUAUUGCUUUUGCACAAUAGCACAGACACCAGCUCAUGCUUAUAUGAUACACAGCAGCAACUCAGAAUAACACUCAUAAAGACAAGUGAUUGUGAAUUGUCAUUGGAGGUGUAGAUCCGUUUCAAGCCUUCAUUUUCAGCUUUUGUUUGAAAGUGAGGACAUUCAGCAAGCAUUCAGCAGUCAACACAAUCGCUGUUCUCCGCUGUAAAUGUUCCUAAAUAGACUCCUCACGCUUUGUGCAAAUAAACUCUGCAGCGAUCUAUUUUGACAACUUAUUUAAAACACUGAAAAUGUUGCCUCUAAGAGAAGUUUUCAUCAUAAGUUUGGGAGAAAGCUCCUCGAACAGUGUUUAAAAGGGCACCUGAACGCAUGAAAAACUUUAAAAACACCAGUGAAUGAUUAUUUUUAUGCAAAAAAAGUAACUGUUAGUGACAGUGUGUUGUCAACUGAUGAAUAAAUCAUGCAUUAAAAAUUUCAAAUUAAACAGUCACAAUGAUGGGCUGAAUUUAGACGUGGCUGAACUAAUAUUUGUAUUUUUAUUUCUUAAUUCACAAUUUACCCAUCAUGAGUGAAGUGGCAAUCUGUGGCGGUCAUCAGGGUGUGAAUCACUAUUGAAAGGUGAUGGCUGUGUAAAUUCUCAUUUUGUACCAGUCCACAAGAGCCAGGAGAGGCUGGAGUGGUUAGCUGAAGAGAUUUAUUGUUCAGUUUAGUUUUUACGAUGGUUUUGUUUUUUCUGCAUGUAUGGAAAUUAAUCAGUAAGCCUACCAUUUGUAUCCCUGCUAAUAUUUUCUCUUUUUUUUUUAUUUUAUUGGCCAUAAACUUGUUUUUUACAGUUAGGCAAGGCAAACAAACAAAUAGGCCAAAAUUGUUUGUGAUUGUAAAAGCCCUUUUGGCCGGAUUUCAGCAACACUGGGUCCAUUUUUAAAACAAUCAGCCAGGACGCAACAACAGGACCUGAUGAUUCAAAGAGGCAGUUUGUGUUUUACCAGACAGCCCCUGAUCAUGCUGAUAUCCCCCUUUUUAGUACAGUGAGCUUGUUGGACUGCAGCAGGUUGACUAACCGGCUGUGAAAAUCCAUUUUAUUCUUCUUAAUUUACACGUACACACACACAUUGUCUUUUAGUCUCACACGAGCUGAAAAAGUAAAACACACCUGCCCCCCUCCCUGUUCUUUUUCGCCACAAUUCGGCAGGUGGCAGAGUGCCUUGUUCCUUUGGAAAACAAAAAAAUAAAACAUGUGAGAGAAAAAAAAUCUAUAAAAGGCAAAUAAACAAGAGUGGGAGCUGCCGCCAGCAUGCUUGCAUUCUGCCCAGGAUAAUAGAAAUGGAAGUACGAUAAGGUUCCUGUAUAACCUCCCACGCAGAGGUGUAACUGAGUUCACUUUUCUUUGUCCUGCAUUCGGUUUCAGGCUUUUGCACCUGUUAAUGCUACUGUGCAUGACUGGUUCUAAAUGCAGCGCACAGACAAGCAGAUACCCAUGUGGCACAAACAUCCAAAGUAAGCCUUGGAUGUUGAUAGAGUUUAGAAAAGAAGCAGGUACUGUGUAGGUGGUGAAGAUUUAUUUAAUCAACCACAGUGAGUGCUUGUGGUCAUAGUGUAGCCUAAUAACACAAGCCAAAUUAAUGAGUUAUUAUCUGUUAGACACUUUUAAUAAGCAGAGACAGGCACUUUUUAGCUCAGAGCAACAAUAAACUACAUAAAACUAUUGUUUGGUGAUUGUCUGCAGCAUAUAUUCCUGCACUCUUCCUCUUCAACCUAGAAAACAAAUCAGAAACACACCUACUCUCUCAAACACAGACAGACAAAAAAAGCCUGUAAUUUACUUACUUCUUUCUAUCUUAUCAAGCGCUGCACAGUACAGCGCUGCGGGCUUCACUUGUUUUAUGCACAUUACUGGGACACAUAGGCUUUUAUGUUCUGUGGAACAGGAUGUAACAGUGCCAGGCAGGGUUUAGUUCAUUGGGCCAUUUCCCCUCCUCUUAUUAAAUAUCCUUGUCCUUGGAACAACUAUUGGGGAAAGAGAAGGGGGCCUCUUCAAAGCUUGUCUUGUCUUCUGAAGAUAGACUGUAUGCAGGACUCUCUUCCUUGGCUUGGAGCAAGAAAUGGGUAAUAUGAUCCAUGCAAAAUACUACAUGGCCAGCAAGAAGUAUUCAGCUUCAGAUCAAGAUAAUAUUUUUUUUAUAUUUUGCACCUUGGGAUGGAGUUGCUAUUGAUAUUUUUGUAGUGAUAGCAGGGAUUCUACUUUCAUAAGCCUAAAUGAUGAAACAUACAGGAUCCGUAUUGAGCGCGUAACAUCAACGUUGCGCAUCAUGCAGCAAAUAGGUUUCUAUUCUAAUCAAUGCUGCAAACCCCACAGGACGCCUCUUCGCGCCGUCUCAGAAGUGUGUCUCUGCUAAAGAUACGCACCAAGUCGAUUUUCGCUGCUUUAUGCUUCCAACAUGCAUUAAGAGAAGAUCUAGACAAGAUGUCACGGUCGGAAAUGGCGCAUGUCAUCUGGUAAAUUUCAAAAUAAAACACCAUAUAUGAACUCCCGGCUGUGUAUUAGUUUGUGUAGAUAAAAAAUAAUUUCUGGUUAUGGAUUUCUCAGUAACAUAUAACAAUCUGAUGGUCAAUCCCUGAUCCAUUUGGCCCCCAAUGACUUUAAACCGUUGACUCUGUCUGAAUGUAACAGCACAGCAUAAAGGAACAUAGUUAACUUUCGUAAACACAAGGAAACCUGCGAAAAACGACACUUUAAAAUCACGUUCAUUUUUCACAUCCAGUAGAAGCGCAACAGUCACCGAAUUAUAUCCAAAUUAGCAGUAAAUAGACCACAGAAAGGCAAAAAAAACCUGUUGUGAGCAUGUUGUUUCCUCUAUACUGAGCCAAGCUGACCAGGGCUGCUGUACACUGCUGCCACGCUCCAGACACGCAUCCUGUGGGCGAUCAGGAGCUCUGCAUGACAGAGCAGAGACUCAACGCUGAUGGAAUGCGCUCAACACGGAUCCUGUGGGCUUUAGGCUUUAAUCUCCCCAAAUAUCAGUAACCUGAAACCAAAAUCGUUGCCAUGUACAGAUGUUCAAAAGCAACUAAUUUUCCACUUAAUUGUUGACCAGACCGUUCACAAUUCAACAACAACCAAUCAUAUACUAGCUACAGGAACAGCUUUGAUUCUCCACAGUAAUAUUAAUCUUGGUAUCUACAAGAUCACAGGUAAAAAGGGCAGCAUAAAUUUUUACAUCACUUAUGAGAAAACAUGUUCUGCAUUGCAGGAGCUCGGCCUUUCAAGUUCUUAUUUAUAAAUUAAGAACUGGCUUGAAUAAUAGAAACUCAAAAGCUGGGUAUGAUAGACAGCAUUAGCCUCCUGGCAUCUGAGGCACUCUGCAGUCCUCCACAGCGUGGGAUGAUGCAUGGCCUACUAUGAGUGAUGUAGACCUGCUCUGUUGAAAAGGGCUUUUUGUGGAGAAGAGACCGGCCCUCGGGUAAAUUGCCAGUGACAUUCCAAGUGCUCAUAAAACAUCCUCGUGGACGAUGGAUGCAAAAGCAUUCCUUUUGUGCUCUCUCAAUAUUCUAUUUAGUCUAAUUAGGACGAUGGGGUCUGUAAAUGUUUGAGUCAUUGUGGGAUCACAGAGGCCCGCAGGUGAAGAAGGCGAUGAAAGGCAUCAGACAAAGGAGGAACCAGCUACUUUAGUGCAAGCAUCGUACAAUACGGGCUUAAGGCAGAGGAAAGGAUUUCGAAGUUCUUCUUGUAAGACAAAACAAGACGGGACAUAGCCGGGACCACAUUGAAGAAGAGACAGACAGAGAUGCUUUUAGAGCUCAGAAGGGGGAAAUAUGAGAGCAGGGAAGAUGAAGGAAGAUGGAGAGAGACUUCUCUUCACCCUCAGCUCAUUUGUCAUGUGGCUGCAGAUCCCGGGGAUAGAAACACUAAUGAGCAAAAGCACACUUCCUUAUAUUUGUAUGUGUGAAUGGAGCUCAUACCCAAAGCAGUGUGGGUGUUGAGUCCACUCAUUAAUCUCCCUGGACGUCAUUUGUGCUACAUGGAUGUACUGAAUCACAUCGCUCCUGUGAUGUAGUUUUGCUUCAGCGAGAACUGUUCAGUCAGUAAUGUUCUUCACAGUUCGAUUCACGCUGAUCUACUAUCGCUGCGGCCUGCUGUGUCUGGAAGAGAAGCGGUUUUAAGUUUCAGCAUCCAGAUGUAAAACUAAAUGUUACACAUUUCCCAACAAGCAAGAAGAAUGAAAACUAUAAAUCCUAAACAGCUGAAAUUGAGCUGAAAAUGAGGCAAAGGGAAGCUUACGAACAAGCUCCCUGAAUGUCCUUGUGUUUUUGUUUUCCUCUAUAUUACUCCAAGCUAGAUUUUGCAUAAAGAGUAAGUUGCAUAUAAAUCCCUCAUUACUCAUAUUCUUUGAGGUAGAGCGUGUGUGCGUGUGUAUGCGCAUGGGUUCAACUUCACAAUGCAAUUAGUGCGUACAAGAGAGUUUUGUAGUGUGUGUGUGUUAGAGAGAGAAAAUGUGUGUCUGCUCUUGUCAGGAGCACAUGUUUUCUAAGAGCCUCCUCUGCUUUCACCCAGUUGGUGGGCUGAUGAGCAUUGAUUGGUUGAAUGAAAUUAUCAGAUGCCUCUGAGAGCCCCCUGGGACUUGGCAUGUGUGUGUGAAAGUUUGCAUUUGUACACAAAAGCAGGUGCUUCUGAUUAUGUUGUGCUCUUUUAUUGACUGUUUUUAGUCUUUUCACCACAUUUAGGAAUGCGAUGGUGCAACUAAGUAUACGGUAGAUUUAUUGUUGUCAGAUAUAGCAUCAAGCCGCCCAGUGUGUGUUAGUAUGUUUGUGUGUGUUUGCAUAUGUGCCUGCACGUAUGCUGGCGAUGAUGCCCUUGUAGAUUACAUGGGGAGCACAAUCUGUGUUUAGCACACUCGCCCUUAGAGGGCGGAUUAUGGGAUAAACAGAGUGGCGGGCCUGUCACCACACACACAUAGAAAUGCAUAUUAACUCACACACACGCACACUGGAGGUUUAGGUGGUGAUCAGCAAGGUGCAAGCAGUUGAAGUCGCACUCAUAAACUCAUACACUGAUGUUCAUUUAUCUGCAUUUGCACAUGUGCUGACUGCUUGAUGAGUUGGUUGCUUACUGUAUUCACACCCUGCAGGCUUGCUAAGAUUUAGGGCACGAAAACGAGCACAAGGAAGGGUUUCAGCGUACGCCGUUUUACUCGCGUUCAAACUUUGUUUUCUUAACAACAAAAAAAUCACUUACCUCAGCUACAGCACUCACAGUGAGGAACAACAUCUGAGUGUUUCACACACAAGGUUAAUUAAAUGUGUGAUGUUGAGCUGAAAGAUAAAAUGACAGCUUUCAUUUUGUAAAAGCUUGGCUAAUUAAACAAGUGAGACAUUCUUCUCCGAGCUUAAGUAAUUACACGAAACAUUUGAAGACAGCAUAAGAAAGUUCUCACAGCGAUGGCUGAGUGAGGUUUAUGAACAUGAAGCUCCAUUUAAUGAUGAAAGUGUCAUGUAUUGAUAGAAGAAAGUGUCAUCUGCAAAGUGAGAAAUCCCUCUCAGCUACAUCAGACUUGUUGUCCUCCGUCUUUGGACACUUAUCUCUCAUUGACCUAUCAUCUUUCAUGGAUCCAUCCACAUAAGGCUCCUCACAGUCACUGGAAUGCACAUAGGCACAUGUUGACUUAUAGAUGUGUGCUAUGAACACACACAGAUGCAUCCUCCCCUCUCCCUUCCACAGUGAUCUCAAGGACACUCAGUCAACAUUUACUGGAGCUUUGAUGGCUUUACGGCCUACGUUAUUACUUCCUCCCCUCCUCCUCCUCAUGCUCCUCCCGUCCUCCCUGUGUCAUCAGCAGGUCUCGGGUCUUUCAUAUCAUAGUGUAAUUAACCACACAACAGGGAGUAGCUCAGCAUCCAGCUUCCAGCGAUGAUUUUAAAGCUUCAAGCCAAAACCAUCUGCUACAUUUUUUUUCCCCUGUAUUUAGAAGAGAACUGCAUUUAAUUUGAAACAUAAUGCUUACUCUCUGCAUGUUGUAGCAGCUCCAGAUGCUCUUUUCUAAUGGAUGAUACACAUUGCAAAUUUUGCUCGUUUAGUGUAAUUUAUUUGAUCCCUGAAAAAGUCAGUGAAUAUUUUUUUUUUUACAGUCCAUAGACGGUGGAUCCUUUGGUGUAUGUUGUGCUCUGGCCUUUACCUGAGUACCCCCAAUGAAUAGACGACUAUGAUUUUAUGUGUUUGUUUUCACUGCAGACUGACAGUAAUGCAAAUACAUCAACUUCUCCUGUUACAAAUGUAAAAUUAAAUUGUCAGUAAUUAGCAGUUCCAGACAUCCCUUUGCUGUAGUUGAACUCUUUUUCUAUGUAGAGCAUGCUCACUGGCUGGAAUGGAAAGCAUGGUCAGCAUUGCAACAGCUAACAUGACCAUGCAAACAGUUUCACUGUAGGUUUUUGUGCAUCCAAGCAUAGCUUUAUGCAGUCCUGUGCUGAACAACUGUUCUUGAAGAUGAUCCAAAACUUCAUCUCCCUAACUUCUUUGGUGAAGUGCACAAGUAGGCACAAAGGCCAGUCACAGAUCAGCUGCUUCUGAGUAGCAGUAUGAAUUUCUAGCAUGUUUGAAAUUUUGGUCUUCCUUUAGUAUUAUUUUGAAUAAUAAAUAAUGCAUUAGAUUUCAUAUAGCGCUUUAUCAGAGACCCUAAAAGCGCUUUACAUUGGAUAUAUGAUUCAUUCACUCACACAGUCACACUUUGGUGGUGGUAAACUACCUUAGUAGCACAAGGAAGGGGGGCAGACUGACGGAAACGUGGCUGCCAUUUUGCCCCCACGGUCUCUCUGACCACCACCACACAACACUCACAAUCAUACACCUGUGGAAGACACACACUGGGAGUAAGGUGGGUUAAGUGUCUUGCCCAAGGACACAACGGGCAGACUCAGGAUAGGGGGGAAUCGAACCGCCAACCUUCCAUUUAUUGGACAACCACUCUCCCUCCUGAGCUACUGCCGCCCCAAUCUUGCACCAUGAAUGCACGGCCACCAGAGGAUUCACCAACUUCACUUUUUUUUUUUUCCUCGUUGCAAAUGGUGUGCAGCAUCUAAAAACACAAUGGCAUCUUGACAUAUGGAUUUGCAACUGAAAUACUAAGUUGUGCCAACCAGCCACAAUGUUGUGACCAACUGUGCAGUGUAAUGUGAUCAAAUACAACAGUCCUGCCAAAAAUCCAACUUCUACAAAUGUUUCCUCCUUUUCAGUCUUUGUUGACAUGUCAAAGAAGUGAAAGUCAUACUUGAUAUUCACCAUUCAGUGCCUGUUCUCUGAUGGCCACUUCAGUCUCCAGUCUGUGAAGGUUUUCAUUAGAAACUUUAUUGUCACCGCUCCAACCCUGUUUAACAUGAACAGCAUGAACACAUGAUUUGUGAGCUUUGGUUAUGCACCAUGAUUCAUUUAUACAGCAUGAGUUGACAGUCCACCAUGAAAUUAAUGUGUUUGCGCAGUCUAUGCUGGAUUUUCUUCUUUUUCUGCCGAGAAUUCAUCCAGUAUCUAGUUGUAUUGAUUUAUUAGCAAACAGGAAAUGGGGUCAAUGAAAGCAACACCUUGUCAGCGCAUCUUAGACUCAAGUUGAUUUAAUGGUCUUUUAGUUCUGGGGCUGUAAAAAGAUAAAGGAAAAAUACUCCAAAGUAACCUGUUUUUUUAUAUCGUAUGUUAGAUUGUUAAAAUAACAAAGGCUUGGGAUUGAUAUGAAGAAUUCUUUCAAGCACAAUAUGUCUUUUUUUUUUUGCUGCGAGGCUUUAAUAUAUGGAUUUUAGAGUGGAAAAAAAGAAGCAUAAUGGAAGUCCUUUUUUUGGUUUUUCAAUCAUCUUCUGUUGCUGAGCACUUCCUUACAAAUCACAUUGUAGCUGGCAAAUACUGACAGCCAGAUGAUGAAGGUGAAGGGUUUGUAAAGAAUUACAGUUGUAAUGUUUCAUGGAGGUGUAAUCAAUGCAGUGCGCUCCAGAGAGUCUUUCAGAGACUCUGGUAAAAUCUCGCCCCAUGGCAGCACUCCAGAUUUAGUCCAUCCCGAGCUAGCAAACAACAUAAAAACUCAUCCGAACUCAUGAGCCCAUCGAAACCAAGCCCCUUCACAGUAUUGCACCCAGAGAGCCCCUGUGAGCCUCUUCUUAUUGGUGGUGAAGACAGAGAGGAGUAAGGGCGACAAUUCAUUUAAUCCCUUCAUGAAUCCUCUUCUUCUCUCUCGGGGUGAUAUUGAAAAGAUGCUCCAGGCUUUCCCCCCAGCAAAGCCAAGCAGAGAGGCCCAUGGGAUAUAUUUUAUUCAGGCAAUGCCAAAUUUUGUACCCAGCUCACUCGCAGAGGCACACAUACCAACUGCAGUUUUUAUGAAAGAGGAAUCAUUGUCCUAUAUUUCAGUCUUGUAUCUCCUGCACACAUUUUCCCAUUGACUAGCACUGAUAUCACUCUUAUAGACUUUAAAACAAGAGCUGCAGUAUAGUUUAACAGCCCUGAUGCUGCCUUUUGUUGCCCUUAAAUUUCCCCUUAAGUAGCUUUGAAGAUAGACAAAACACUUGACGAAAAGCGCACUCAUAUCUUCCCUUUGGUGCAGUUUUCAGAAGCUAUACCACUCUUAAGUUGUGAGAAAUAUCAGUGAGAACAUGUGUAGUACUCUAAACACACAUACAGAAACAAACCACACACACGUUUCUGCUUCAUCUCUAUCGCUCGCGCUCUCUUUCGUGUUUUUGUCAUUACCCAGGGACCAGUGAUUAUGUUGCAACAAACACACUCUUCACACUUUCUCCAUCCCUGCGUCUCGCCUCAUUAGAUGCAUGCACGAGUUGGAACACCUCGCCCUCCUACAAUCCACCGAAACAGAGGCCCUUACUAAAGUUAAUGGAGUGUAAGUCCCAUGGUAAUGUGUGGCCCUUGAACAUGUUCCCCCAUAUUGUAUAUAUCUUGAGCUUGAGUGUGUUCCAGUCUUCAUAUUGUUUGUUGACUGCCUCGUAAUUACAAGAAGUGUGAAUGUGAUAUUUCACAUUAUAAUGAUCUAAUUCUGCCCUCGCCACCAGGACAGUGUGCAUUCUGCUUAAUGGCAAUGUAAUUUGAAAAACAAUACAGCUUUAUGUGAACAAAAGAAAAUGUGCCAACAACAGCUAAUUUAUAGGUAAUCAUUGGGGGGAUUUUUCUUCCAAAUGACUUGAGAUAGUGCCUGUCAGCAGUACAGCUACAGUCCCUGUGCGCUGCUUUCAUCAGCUGUUUCCUUUAUUUCCUUCCUUUCUGCAUGUCUGACUUUGCCUAUUGGCAAUGAUUCUACAGAAAAGAAGUAGAGCCUGAGAACUCCCAAUUAAUGAGUCUUCUGUUGUUGUGUGAAAGUUUGUUUGUCCUUGAGUUCUCCGAAGCAGCUAGCAGGGGUAUCAGGAUGGAAAUUCUUCCCUCCGAAUCGAGUAAAUAUGGCAGAAUUAUUUCAGCUCAGACAUGUUUAGAGGUGCAGCUGCUGCCACUGCAACUCUGAACUCUUGUCGUCAAAGCACAAAUAAUCCUCAAACCUAGAGCAAUGUUGAACAAUGCUACUGUUAUAAUUGUCUUUUACUUUGCAAAGGUAAGAUUAGUACUUUUUCACUGAACUAAUGCAAUUUACUGAAUGUUUCCAUUUACUCAUGGGUGGUUUUCAUUUAAUCAGAACAGUGUGGUGUCUAGCUUGAUAAGGAGAAAUCUGAUGAGCCACAAGACUCUCUUUGUUCUAUCAGACGGGUUUGCUACAGUAGUUACACACCUCAAGGUCAACGACACACACAUAUUUCAAAGCACAUUUUAGUAGGACUGUGUGAACUGUGGUUGGUCUGUCUGAAUUGUACCCAGAAUUGGGCAUUCGUUGUGAUGGAGAUCCUAGGAGCUCUGUCAUUGGGAGUCCAGCGCUGUACAACUUUUCAUGUGACCUAAAUAAAUGUUUAUAUCUAAGAACUGAAGAUUUCUUUGGUUGUCUUUGAGCAGUCAACUAAAGGACAGUUUCUUACACUACUGUUGCCCUAUUCAGUCUGGGGUCUGGUCUACUUGUGUGUUCAUAAUAAUGAAAUAUCAUUGUAUGACUAUAAAUUGGCUGUCUUUUGUAGAUCACCAAGAACAACAGGAUAACGACGAUUCUGGGCAAAUGGACCACAAAGAUUCAUCAAGUCAAGACCCUUGUUCACAGCAAGA
This is a non-coding RNA of Xyrichtys novacula (pearly razorfish), 62839 nucleotides long. Lineage: Eukaryota; Metazoa; Chordata; Actinopteri; Labriformes; Labridae. The record is from the annotation of a GenBank genome assembly.